Molecule: long non-coding RNA, 61545 nt
Filed under: Setaria viridis
Lineage: Eukaryota; Viridiplantae; Streptophyta; Magnoliopsida; Poales; Poaceae
Description: long non-coding RNA (SVIR_LNC010032)
Source: RNAcentral
AUAAUAAUAAUAAUCAUGUUUCCAUAAAAUUGCUAAGUCCAGAGAUAAUACAUAAACAUAGUAGACUGUUCAUGACACAUAUCACGGUGGACAGUGUUUGUGUCCUUAUUACAAGCAACGAGAGAUGCUCGUCACCAACACGCGCGCGCACAGAUGCACGACAUACAUAUAGUAGAGACCAACAGAUGGUCGUCCCAUAUGGUGAACAAUUUAUUGGAGAUAAAUAUUAACGUAACUUGGCCAUAGCUUGAAGCAUAGCAACAUAUGCCUAUGAGUGGCAUUCAUGCUAUCGUUUUAGGCUUGUCCAGCUCCUUCCAUCUUAGCAAGCACUUCCAUUUCUACCAUCUUAGCAGCAACUGUCAAAUUGAGAUACGGAAAUCCCAUUAGCGCAUGAGUUAAUUUUGCAGUGGAAAUAGAGUACAAGAUGUCUUCAUGAUGUAAGUAAUAUGCCUGAAGUUGUGAGAUGGGAAGUGAAGUCAACAAAUUACAUUAACGGAAAUGCAUGGAAGGCCACACAUACGUAUUAGUCCAUGAUAUGCUACAAAGCUUGUAUGUACAUAUAGCAAAUUAAAUGCAUUAAUUGAAUAGAGUGUGUUUAGUGAAUUUACCAGAAUCGUCCAGAAAACAUGGGAAACAGCAAGUGUUCUUGCAGACUGCGUCGGAGGCACCCGCACGAAUACAAAGCUGACAACAUAGUUUUGCCUGGGCGGAUGCGCAGCAGCCGCACUCCGCCGCGGUGGGGUUAACAUUGAGGCUCAAGAUGACCAGGCACAUGAUCACCAUCAAAGUGGUAGUCCUCUUUCCCUCCAUUGCCUCCUCUUAGCUUGCUGCUACCUUCCUUGGUUACCUAGCUAAGUUUAUUGGUUUUGUGUUGAGAGGUGUGAUUCUUGAAUGGACGUUGCCGGCGGCAAUUUAUAGGCAGCUGAGCUAUGUGAUGAUAUGGACUAGGUGCAAAUGGGUGGUUAAUGGCAAGGAAAGGGGCGUCAGACAAAGCCCAAUGGCAACUGCUGACAUGCGAUUAAAUUCAGAUCCACAUCCGGCCAUUCAAUAAUACGGUUGGAGUUGUGGCACAGAUAUAUUAUUGCAUGAUCAUCAAGAUAAGAUCGUACAGUGACUGAGUGAGACAAUAAAUAGCCAAGUAAACUAUUUUAUCCUGCUGCAAGCUGCAUUCAUAAGUUUAUUUCACCUUUGAUCACAAUACUCUUCACACACGUACGUCUCAGGGAGAUCUCACUUCCGCUGGACUGCUCACUUCCGCUGUCGUCGGUACUGCCAAAGACAUAAGCUCACAUCUGCUAUUGCGGAGCAGGCCAAUUUGCUGCGGAACUUCGGCGACGACCUGAAGGACAUGAACUCGGUGCUGGAGUCCAUCUCAGCAGCGCUCUAGGACGCUGACACCGGUAGAAAAACGACCUUCCAUCGUCAACAAAAAUCCCGGUAGCUUUUUUACUCGGUACUAAAGAGGUUUUAAUCUCGUGCAAACACCUUUAGUCCAGAUUGCUAUUACCACGCAACCCGGACUAAAGCGUCCCCCGCGAGUUAGUAUAUAAGGAUUGCAUCCUUUACUCAGUCAGAUAUAAUAUGUAGGUGAGAUGGUAAGGAAGCUAUGCGUGAGGCUUCAGGUUGUGGGUUCGAAUCCAAGUGGGUGCAGCUGUGGCUUAAGCGGCUGAGGCACGCCGCCAUAGACAUCUCAGAUUUGCUCGAAGACUACCAAGACACUAGUGAACCCUUAACAGUAAAGGUGAGUACUUAUGAAUGUCAGCAUCCAUGUUGUCCAUGCUUCCAAUGUAAUAACAAGAUGGACUACUCUUCCUAGCGGACUCUUCACAACCACUCGUAAAGCUAUGCGUUUCUCAAUGCAAUUUCGUAGAAGCCAAUCGAUCCAACCAAGUGACUAAAUCAUUCGUCCUUUCCAAUGAUGUGCAUCAGGUUUUCUAUAUGAAGGGCAUGUCUAGCAAACCUAAGAUUUCAGAAGAAAAAGAAAAAUCAUUGGAGCCAAAGAGCCACAUAGUUCUUCUAGGAAAAAAAUCAUGGGAGUCGAGAACAUAUCAAACCAAUCAGGGGAUUAUGGUCAGCUUAAUGGCAUGCCUCCAUUCGAUGUCGAAGUUCACCCAAGCAUCAUGUUAGCCAAACAUCAAAUGUUCGUGCGUUGUUACGGUAAAGAUCAAUUGUGUUUUUUAAACUCUUGGAAUUUUUUUAUCUAAGUUUUUAUUUACACUUAUUGGAUGUCUACACAUUUGCUAGAAAACUAAAAUAAUUUGGACUUAAUUAUUUCUUUCAACUGAAGUACUCACUAAAUUUCUACCUUUUUAUUUAAGCAAGAGAGUUGCUAAAAAAAAUGGAUACGUAACCAUGUUGUAUCAUACAAAGUAACCACGUUUCACAUAUAGUCCGGCUUAGCAAACACCAUUGUUUUCUGAACAUAGCGUACAUGAGUUAACAGACAUGGAUUUAUUUCUAUUGCAAGUAGCAUAGCGUACAACCUGCCUGCACCGAUGCAGCUCAAUAUGCGAUAAUUUUUAUCUUCCCAUGUAAUUUUUCUACUCUAGUACAUAUUGAACUCCACAUUAAUGUCAUGUUCUUUCGCGCCCCAGAAGGUUCCUAAAGUUUGGAAACUUAAUAGAUAGCCAGAAUUUUUUUUAAAGAUAUUUAUAUGGAUACUUGUAUGUUCUUUCCAAACUAACAAUAUUGUUUACCAAUAUCAGAAGGAAUAUGGUUAGGAGCCAUUGCCGCAUAUGGCAGGUGAUGGUAGAUGGCGUAUGGGGUUUCGUUAAUUUAAUGGUAUAAUAAGCUGAAAUACAUUUUCUAUUUGCAAAUGAAUCAUAGCUGAAAUUGGUGGGAUUGUUUUUUUCGCCGGUUUAGCAUCCUGUGCACCAGUUCAACCGGAGGGAAGCUGUUUUUUUUCUUUGGUUUUCCACCGGUUCACCGAGACCGAUGACAAUUUUAUGGCAGAAUCAUUACUUGUUUUACUAUUAGGUGAAGAUUUUAGCGUUUAGGUAUCUCACAUUAAACGCAACUUCAACAAUCUAUUUCUAGUGUAUAAUGUAGGAGACCCCGUAAAGAGUCUACACACACAUAUAUGUUGACUAUGAAUGUAAGUUUGUUGGUUUUAUGUAUGUUCGUUUGGAGUUUAUAUAAAUUUUACAUUUUAUAGUUUUGUGUAUAUGACGAAGAUCCAUGACUUGCAUUAAUUUAGCCUUUCUUCCAACAACUCUUAUGCAUGCUGUUUCUAGGCGAGCGUACUGGUUGCAAUUUUGGUCCCCGAUAUAGUGUGAGGACUUAAGGGACACGUGCAGGUCGUAACCUUAGAUAUUUUUGCUGAGAAUGGAUGAAGAAGCAAUAAUAUACUUUGCUUCUGAUUUUCUCCAUGUCAUUUGCUUACUCUUAUCCCUUUUAUUUAUCAUUAUAAGAUGAAAAUAUUGUAAAAACUUGGCUACGUGCGGUCGCAGAAGCUAGAGACUAAAGCGUCCCCCACGAGUUACUAUAUAAAAGGAUUGCAUCCUCUACUCAGUCAUAUGUACUGUGUAGGUGAGAUGGUAAGGAAGCUAUGUGUGAGGCUUGAGGUUGUAGGUUCGAAUCCCACGCACCGCGUGCGCAUGCGCAUAUUUUGCGUGAAAAAUCGCAUGACUUGUGGUCGGCCAAGGAGAAGUGCGUGCGGCUGAGGCACGCCGCCAUAGACAUCUCGGAUUUGCUCCAAGACUACCAAGACACUAGCGAACCCUUAACGGCAAAGUUGAGUACUUACGCGUGUUAGCAUCUAUGUUGUCCAUGCUUCCAAUGCAAUAACAAGAAGGGCUACUCAUCCUAGCGGAUUCUUCACAACCACUCGUAAAGCUAUGCGUUUCUCAAUGCAAUUUCGUAGAUGUCAAUCGAUCCAACCAAGCGACUGAAUCAUUCGUCCUUGCUAAUGAUGUGCAUCAGGUUUUCUAUAUGAAGAACAUGUCUAGCAAAUCCAAGAUUUCAGAAGAAAAAUAAAAAUCAUGAGAACCAAAGCACCACGUAGUUCUUCCAGGUAAAAAAAACAAUCAUCCACUGGGAUGACACACAGUAGCGAUCCAAAACGUCCAUAUUAAGACUUUUUGAUAGCAGAAAAAACAUGAAAAUGUCUAAUAUUUGUAGUAUUAAAAGGAAAAAUAAUAUAUUCACUUGACCUUUUUUUCGUAGCAACGCACCGGUGCGUAGUCAGACUUAGGCCACGUUUGGAUACUCCCUACUAAAGUUUAGCACCUGUCACAUAGGAUGUUUGGAUACUAAUUAGGAGUAUUAAACAUAGGCUAAUUAUAAAACUAAUUGAACAGAUGGAGUCUAAUUUGCGAGACGAAUCUAUUAAGCCUAACUAGUCCAUGAUUUGACAAUGUGGUGCUACAGUAACCAUUUGCUAAUGGUGGAUUAAUUAGGCUUAAUAGAUUCGUCUCGCGAAUUAACAUAGGGUUCUGCAAUUAAUUUUAUAAUUAGCUCAUGUCUAGUCCUUCUAAUUAGCAUCCGAACAUCUGAUAUGAUACUGCUAAAGUUUAUCACCUAGUAUCCAAAUACCCCCUUAAUGCACGAUGCCUGUGCAUCCACUGGGCCUACCCUCGUGGAUCACGCGCUCGUGGAUCACGCGCACCAUGACAUGGCUCAUUAGCUAGUCGUGCUAAUCCUUACCACCAAAUUAAAAACUAGCAUGUGUUGUGUGUUUGUGACCCUAAACGACUACCACCUUCCCGAGUCCACCGGAGUUGCCAGUUCACCACUAAGCUGACUCUCCGAGCUUCAUGUCACUGUCACCGCUCCAAAGACCUAGAUCGGUUCGCUGUGCACCCCGCUUCGUCCUGAGCUAAAUCCCAUCACGAAAGGUGACCGGAUGCUCGUUUUCGAGCGAAUUCUAGCGAGAUUGCCACCACCUUUCCCCUUCCAGCCGAUCGCAGCUGUCUGAUCACAAACCGACAGCCCAGAUCGGAUUUGACCAGGUCAAUACCGGUCAAGCCGAGAUGCAUGCUGCUUUUGCAAGAAGGCCCCUAUUUUUCUCUCUUUUUGCACUUGAGGUCCUACGCAGUUCAAAAGUAAUUAGAUCUAGAUCCUUUUUCUUCUGUUUUAGCCCUGUUCUUUUAUAAAAUCCCACCCGCCAUCCUGUUUGGUAUUUUGACAUGUUAGACCUUCUAUUUAUAUGUUUAAUUAGGUUUUAGCCCUUGGUUUCUUUAAGUUUAGCUCUUGGAAGUUUAGUUUUCUCGCAGUUAAGCCCCUGAACCUUGUUUAGUUCAUAUCUUUAGCGUUUUAAAUCCGUUUUAAGAGAUUCUUACGCCCAUAAGUUCGUGUUGAUGCAUAGAUUAGUUGACUUAUACGGACCUUGCUGAUUCAGCUCCUUCAUUGUGCUUCAGAUCUCGCUAGUGAAGAAUAAUGGAUGGGCUUUGGUUGAGCUUGUAGAUCGACCUGCAGUUGCAGUGAAUGUGCUGAGGACUGGCGGUACCAAUAAUGGGAGGCCGCUGCUCUGCUUGCUACCAAGGCCUGCGACGCUUGGACGCCAUUCAGAGUGCAUAAUUUCCAAGGAUCUCAAGGGCUCCACACCACGUUCCAAGUGUUUUUUCUUUGCCGAGUGUUUUUAGCUCGGCACUUGGCAAAGAGCUUGUUUGCCGAGUGUCCGAAAAAAACACUUGGCAAAGAGAAAACACUCGGCAAAUUUGAUGUUUCCCGUAGUGAUGUACUAUUCAAACUUGAACUGGGAUGCAGGCUUCAGUACCAAAGAGAGCUCUGGGCGCGGGUGAGCAGUGAGCUGGCCGGGCAGGGAGCUCCAAAGCGACAGCAACAAAGAGAGAAAUGCUAAGAGUAAGAACGACACACGAGGUCACUUCACAUAGAUAAUAGCAGUACGAACCAUACAAUAUCCUCUCUCAGUUUCACUCCGCCUCACACACGGCUAGCACACCAUGCAUGCCGAUUUCAUAUUAUUAAUAUUAUUUUUUGGAUGGUUGUUGAAACUAUAUAUAUAGUUAGUCCAAUCUCACGUUUCCGAUUAUAAAAAUCAACGUAAAGAGAUCGGAAGGGAGAGCCGGCAUAAUGAAGCCGACGCGUGUAAUAAGCACCAGAGCCGGCAUUUAUACAAACUGGUACGAAUAGUAAAAAACUAGAAUUUAUAAAUAAAAAAAUGAUUUGCACAUCUAUGCAAUAAUUAGGGGUUAGUGGCAGGUCUAGAGAGAUAUCUCAUCAUUAUAUCCGGUUUAACGAGGAUAAAAAAGAGUGUAUUUUCCACUCAUCAUGUUGUCUUUUCGCAGCGGUACCACUUUUCGUGUGUUGUAUCGGUCCCCUAAUACGGAGUCUCCGAGGCCCGAGAAAAUAAGGAAAGUGAUAGUAGCCCAGAAAUCGGCCAAGUUUCUUUCCCCUUUGGCUUUCCUACUAGGAUUCAGAAUCCUCUUUCGCAUGACAAUCUUAAUUAUCUCCCAUACUCCAAAACUCACAAAAACAUCAAGAUUCCGCUGAGAAUAAAUUUAAGUAAAAAACAUGCACACACAGAUAAUAAUAAUAAUCAUGUUUCCAUAAAAUUGCUAAGUCCAGAGAUAAUACAUAAACAUAGUAGACUGUUCAUGACACAUAUCACGGUGGACAGUGUUUGUGUCCUUAUUACAAGCAACGAGAGAUGCUCGUCACCAACACGCGCGCGCACAGAUGCACGACAUACAUAUAGUAGAGACCAACAGAUGGUCGUCCCAUAUGGUGAACAAUUUAUUGGGGAUAAAUAUUAACGUAACUUGGCCAUAGCUUGAAGCAUAGCAACAUAUGCCUAUGAGUGGCAUUCAUGCUAUCGUUUUAGGCUUGUCCAGCUCCUUCCAUCUUAGCAAGCACUUCCAUUUCUACCAUCUUAGCAGCAACUGUCAAAUUGAGAUACGGAAAUCCCAUUAGCGCAUGAGUUAAUUUUGCAGUGGAAAUAGAGUACAAGAUGUCUUCAUGAUGUAAGUAAUAUGCCUGAAGUUGUGAGAUGGGAAGUGAAGUCAACAAAUUACAUUAACGGAAAUGCAUGGAAGGCCACACAUACGUAUUAGUCCAUGAUAUGCUACAAAGCUUGUAUGUACAUAUAGCAAAUUAAAUGCAUUAAUUGAAUAGAGUGUGUUUAGUGAAUUUACCAGAAUCGUCCAGAAAACAUGGGAAACAGCAAGUGUUCUUGCAGACUGCGUCGGAGGCACCCGCACGAAUACAAAGCUGACAACAUAGUUUUGCCUGGGCGGAUGCGCAGCAGCCGCACUCCGCCGCGGUGGGGUUAACAUUGAGGCUCAAGAUGACCAGGCACAUGAUCACCAUCAAAGUGGUAGUCCUCUUUCCCUCCAUUGCCUCCUCUUAGCUUGCUGCUACCUUCCUUGGUUACCUAGCUAAGUUUAUUGGUUUUGUGUUGAGAGGUGUGAUUUUUGAAUGGACGUUGCCGGCGGCAAUUUAUAGGCAGCUGAGCUAUGUGAUGAUAUGGACUAGGUGCAAAUGGGUGGUUAAUGGCAAGGAAAGGGGCGUCAGACAAAGCCCAAUGGCAACUGCUGACAUGCGAUUAAAUUCAGAUCCACAUCCGGCCAUUCAAUAAUACGGUUGGAGUUGUGGCACAGAUAUAUUAUUGCAUGAUCAUCAAGAUAAGAUCGUACAGUGACUGAGUGAGACAAUAAAUAGCCAAGUAAACUAUUUUAUCCUGCUGCAAGCUGCAUUCAUAAGUUUAUUUCACCUUUGAUCACAAUACUCUUCACACACGUACGUCUCAGGGAGAUCUCACUUCCGCUGGACUGCUCACUUCCGCUGUCGUCGGUACUGCCAAAGACAUAAGCUCACAUCUGCUAUUGCGGAGCAGGCCAAUUUGCUGCGGAACUUCGGCGACGACCUGAAGGACAUGAACUCGGUGCUGGAGUCCAUCUCAGCAGCGCUCUAGGACGCUGACACCGGUAGAAAAACGACCUUCCAUCGUCAACAAAAAUCCCGGUAGCUUUUUUACUCGGUACUAAAGAGGUUUUAAUCUCGUGCAAACACCUUUAGUCCAGAUUGCUAUUACCACGCAACCCGGACUAAAGCGUCCCCCGCGAGUUAGUAUAUAAGGAUUGCAUCCUUUACUCAGUCAGAUAUAAUAUGUAGGUGAGAUGGUAAGGAAGCUAUGCGUGAGGCUUCAGGUUGUGGGUUCGAAUCCAAGUGGGUGCAGCUGUGGCUUAAGCGGCUGAGGCACGCCGCCAUAGACAUCUCAGAUUUGCUCGAAGACUACCAAGACACUAGUGAACCCUUAACAGUAAAGGUGAGUACUUAUGAAUGUCAGCAUCCAUGUUGUCCAUGCUUCCAAUGUAAUAACAAGAUGGACUACUCUUCCUAGCGGACUCUUCACAACCACUCGUAAAGCUAUGCGUUUCUCAAUGCAAUUUCGUAGAAGCCAAUCGAUCCAACCAAGUGACUAAAUCAUUCGUCCUUUCCAAUGAUGUGCAUCAGGUUUUCUAUAUGAAGGGCAUGUCUAGCAAACCUAAGAUUUCAGAAGAAAAAGAAAAAUCAUUGGAGCCAAAGAGCCACAUAGUUCUUCUAGGAAAAAAAUCAUGGGAGUCGAGAACAUAUCAAACCAAUCAGGGGAUUAUGGUCAGCUUAAUGGCAUGCCUCCAUUCGAUGUCGAAGUUCACCCAAGCAUCAUGUUAGCCAAACAUCAAAUGUUCGUGCGUUGUUACGGUAAAGAUCAAUUGUGUUUUUUAAACUCUUGGAAUUUUUUUAUCUAAGUUUUUAUUUACACUUAUUGGAUGUCUACACAUUUGCUAGAAAACUAAAAUAAUUUGGACUUAAUUAUUUCUUUCAACUGAAGUACUCACUAAAUUUCUACCUUUUUAUUUAAGCAAGAGAGUUGCUAAAAAAAAUGGAUACGUAACCAUGUUGUAUCAUACAAAGUAACCACGUUUCACAUAUAGUCCGGCUUAGCAAACACCAUUGUUUUCUGAACAUAGCGUACAUGAGUUAACAGACAUGGAUUUAUUUCUAUUGCAAGUAGCAUAGCGUACAACCUGCCUGCACCGAUGCAGCUCAAUAUGCGAUAAUUUUUAUCUUCCCAUGUAAUUUUUCUACUCUAGUACAUAUUGAACUCCACAUUAAUGUCAUGUUCUUUCGCGCCCCAGAAGGUUCCUAAAGUUUGGAAACUUAAUAGAUAGCCAGAAUUUUUUUUAAAGAUAUUUAUAUGGAUACUUGUAUGUUCUUUCCAAACUAACAAUAUUGUUUACCAAUAUCAGAAGGAAUAUGGUUAGGAGCCAUUGCCGCAUAUGGCAGGUGAUGGUAGAUGGCGUAUGGGGUUUCGUUAAUUUAAUGGUAUAAUAAGCUGAAAUACAUUUUCUAUUUGCAAAUGAAUCAUAGCUGAAAUUGGUGGGAUUGUUUUUUCGCCGGUUUAGCAUCCUGUGCACCAGUUCAACCGGAGGGAAGCUGUUUUUUUUCUUUGGUUUUCCACCGGUUCACCGAGACCGAUGACAAUUUUAUGGCAGAAUCAUUACUUGUUUUACUAUUAGGUGAAGAUUUUAGCGUUUAGGUAUCUCACAUUAAACGCAACUUCAACAAUCUAUUUCUAGUGUAUAAUGUAGGAGACCCCGUAAAGAGUCUACACACACAUAUAUGUUGACUAUGAAUGUAAGUUUGUUGGUUUUAUGUAUGUUCGUUUGGAGUUUAUAUAAAUUUUACAUUUUAUAGUUUUGUGUAUAUGACGAAGAUCCAUGACUUGCAUUAAUUUAGCCUUUCUUCCAACAACUCUUAUGCAUGCUGUUUCUAGGCGAGCGUACUGGUUGCAAUUUUGGUCCCCGAUAUAGUGUGAGGACUUAAGGGACACGUGCAGGUCGUAACCUUAGAUAUUUUUGCUGAGAAUGGAUGAAGAAGCAAUAAUAUACUUUGCUUCUGAUUUUCUCCAUGUCAUUUGCUUACUCUUAUCCCUUUUAUUUAUCAUUAUAAGAUGAAAAUAUUGUAAAAACUUGGCUACGUGCGGUCGCAGAAGCUAGAGACUAAAGCGUCCCCCACGAGUUACUAUAUAAAAGGAUUGCAUCCUCUACUCAGUCAUAUGUACUGUGUAGGUGAGAUGGUAAGGAAGCUAUGUGUGAGGCUUGAGGUUGUAGGUUCGAAUCCCACGCACCGCGUGCGCAUGCGCAUAUUUUGCGUGAAAAAUCGCAUGACUUGUGGUCGGCCAAGGAGAAGUGCGUGCGGCUGAGGCACGCCGCCAUAGACAUCUCGGAUUUGCUCCAAGACUACCAAGACACUAGCGAACCCUUAACGGCAAAGUUGAGUACUUACGCGUGUUAGCAUCUAUGUUGUCCAUGCUUCCAAUGCAAUAACAAGAAGGGCUACUCAUCCUAGCGGAUUCUUCACAACCACUCGUAAAGCUAUGCGUUUCUCAAUGCAAUUUCGUAGAUGUCAAUCGAUCCAACCAAGCGACUGAAUCAUUCGUCCUUGCUAAUGAUGUGCAUCAGGUUUUCUAUAUGAAGAACAUGUCUAGCAAAUCCAAGAUUUCAGAAGAAAAAUAAAAAUCAUGAGAACCAAAGCACCACGUAGUUCUUCCAGGUAAAAAAAACAAUCAUCCACUGGGAUGACACACAGUAGCGAUCCAAAACGUCCAUAUUAAGACUUUUUGAUAGCAGAAAAAACAUGAAAAUGUCUAAUAUUUGUAGUAUUAAAAGGAAAAAUAAUAUAUUCACUUGACCUUUUUUUCGUAGCAACGCACCGGUGCGUAGUCAGACUUAGGCCACGUUUGGAUACUCCCUACUAAAGUUUAGCACCUGUCACAUAGGAUGUUUGGAUACUAAUUAGGAGUAUUAAACAUAGGCUAAUUAUAAAACUAAUUGAAUAGAUGGAGUCUAAUUUGCGAGACGAAUCUAUUAAGCCUAACUAGUCCAUGAUUUGACAAUGUGGUGCUACAGUAACCAUUUGCUAAUGGUGGAUUAAUUAGGCUUAAUAGAUUCGUCUCGCGAAUUAACAUAGGGUUCUGCAAUUAAUUUUAUAAUUAGCUCAUGUCUAGUCCUUCUAAUUAGCAUCCGAACAUCUGAUAUGAUACUGCUAAAGUUUAUCACCUAGUAUCCAAAUACCCCCUUAAUGCACGAUGCCUGUGCAUCCACUGGGCCUACCCUCGUGGAUCACGCGCUCGUGGAUCACGCGCACCAUGACAUGGCUCAUUAGCUAGUCGUGCUAAUCCUUACCACCAAAUUAAAAACUAGCAUGUGUUGUGUGUUUGUGACCCUAAACGACUACCACCUUCCCGAGUCCACCGGAGUUGCCAGUUCACCACUAAGCUGACUCUCCGAGCUUCAUGUCACUGUCACCGCUCCAAAGACCUAGAUCGGUUCGCUGUGCACCCCGCUUCGUCCUGAGCUAAAUCCCAUCACGAAAGGUGACCGGAUGCUCGUUUUCGAGCGAAUUCUAGCGAGAUUGCCACCACCUUUCCCCUUCCAGCCGAUCGCAGCUGUCUGAUCACAAACCGACAGCCCAGAUCGGAUUUGACCAGGUCAAUACCGGUCAAGCCGAGAUGCAUGCUGCUUUUGCAAGAAGGCCCCUAUUUUUCUCUCGUUUUGCACUUGAGGUCCUACGCAGUUCAAAAGUAAUUAGAUCUAGAUCCUUUUUCUUCUGUUUUAGCCCUGUUCUUUUAUAAAAUCCCACCCGCCAUCCUGUUUGGUAUUUUGACAUGUUAGACCUUCUAUUUAUAUGUUUAAUUAGGUUUUAGCCCUUGGUUUCUUUAAGUUUAGCUCUUGGAAGUUUAGUUUUCUCGCAGUUAAGCCCCUGAACCUUGUUUAGUUCAUAUCUUUAGCGUUUUAAAUCCGUUUUAAGAGAUUCUUACGCCCAUAAGUUCGUGUUGAUGCAUAGAUUAGUUGACUUAUACGGACCUUGCUGAUUCAGCUCCUUCAUUGUGCUUCAGAUCUCGCUAGUGAAGAAUAAUGGAUGGGCUUUGGUUGAGCUUGUAGAUCGACCUGCAGUUGCAGUGAAUGUGCUGAGGACUGGCGGUACCAAUAAUGGGAGGCCGCUGCUCUGCUUGCUACCAAGGCCUGCGACGCUUGGACGCCAUUCAGAGUGCAUAAUUUCCAAGGAUCUCAAGGGCUCCACACCACGUUCCAAGUGUUUUUUCUUUGCCGAGUGUUUUUAGCUCGGCACUUGGCAAAGAGCUUGUUUGCCGAGUGUCCGAAAAAAACACUUGGCAAAGAGAAAACACUCGGCAAAUUUGAUGUUUCCCGUAGUGAUGUACUAUUCAAACUUGAACUGGGAUGCAGGCUUCAGUACCAAAGAGAGCUCUGGGCGCGGGUGAGCAGUGAGCUGGCCGGGCAGGGAGCUCCAAAGCGACAGCAACAAAGAGAGAAAUGCUAAGAGUAAGAACGACACACGAGGUCACUUCACAUAGAUAAUAGCAGUACGAACCAUACAAUAUCCUCUCUCAGUUUCACUCCGCCUCACACACGGCUAGCACACCAUGCAUGCCGAUUUCAUAUUAUUAAUAUUAUUUUUUGGAUGGUUGUUGAAACUAUAUAUAUAGUUAGUCCAAUCUCACGUUUCCGAUUAUAAAAAUCAACGUAAAGAGAUCGGUAGGGAGAGCCGGCAUAAUGAAGCCGACGCGUGUAAUAAGCACCAGAGCCGGCAUUUAUACAAACUGGUACGAAUAGUAAAAAACUAGAAUUUAUAAAUAAAAAAAUGAUUUGCACAUCUAUGCAAUAAUUAGGGGUUAGUGGCAGGUCUAGAGAGAUAUCUCAUCAUUAUAUCCGGUUUAACGAGGAUAAAAAAGAGUGUAUUUUCCACUCAUCAUGUUGUCUUUUCGCAGCGGUACCACUUUUCGUGUGUUGUAUCGGUCCCCUAAUACGGAGUCUCCGAGGCCCGAGAAAAUAAGGAAAGUGAUAGUAGCCCAGAAAUCGGCCAAGUUUCUUUCCCCUUUGGCUUUCCUACUAGGAUUCAGAAUCCUCUUUCGCAUGACAAUCUUAAUUAUCUCCCAUACUCCAAAACUCACAAAAACAUCAAGAGUCCGCUGAGAAUAAAUUUAAGUAAAAAACAUGCACACACAGAUAAUAAUAAUAAUCAUGUUUCCAUAAAAUUGCUAAGUCCAGAGAUAAUACAUAAACAUAGUAGACUGUUCAUGACACAUAUCACGGUGGACAGUGUUUGUGUCCUUAUUACAAGCAACGAGAGAUGCUCGUCACCAACACGCGCGCGCACAGAUGCACGACAUACAUAUAGUAGAGACCAACAGAUGGUCGUCCCAUAUGGUGAACAAUUUAUUGGAGAUAAAUAUUAACGUAACUUGGCCAUAGCUUGAAGCAUAGCAACAUAUGCCUAUGAGUGGCAUUCAUGCUAUCGUUUUAGGCUUGUCCAGCUCCUUCCAUCUUAGCAAGCACUUCCAUUUCUACCAUCUUAGCAGCAACUGUCAAAUUGAGAUACGGAAAUCCCAUUAGCGCAUGAGUUAAUUUUGCAGUGGAAAUAGAGUACAAGAUGUCUUCAUGAUGUAAGUAAUAUGCCUGAAGUUGUGAGAUGGGAAGUGAAGUCAACAAAUUACAUUAACGGAAAUGCAUGGAAGGCCACACAUACGUAUUAGUCCAUGAUAUGCUACAAAGCUUGUAUGUACAUAUAGCAAAUUAAAUGCAUUAAUUGAAUAGAGUGUGUUUAGUGAAUUUACCAGAAUCGUCCAGAAAACAUGGGAAACAGCAAGUGUUCUUGCAGACUGCGUCGGAGGCACCCGCACGAAUACAAAGCUGACAACAUAGUUUUGCCUGGGCGGAUGCGCAGCAGCCGCACUCCGCCGCGGUGGGGUUAACAUUGAGGCUCAAGAUGACCAGGCACAUGAUCACCAUCAAAGUGGUAGUCCUCUUUCCCUCCAUUGCCUCCUCUUAGCUUGCUGCUACCUUCCUUGGUUACCUAGCUAAGUUUAUUGGUUUUGUGUUGAGAGGUGUGAUUCUUGAAUGGACGUUGCCGGCGGCAAUUUAUAGGCAGCUGAGCUAUGUGAUGAUAUGGACUAGGUGCAAAUGGGUGGUUAAUGGCAAGGAAAGGGGCGUCAGACAAAGCCCAAUGGCAACUGCUGACAUGCGAUUAAAUUCAGAUCCACAUCCGGCCAUUCAAUAAUACGGUUGGAGUUGUGGCACAGAUAUAUUAUUGCAUGAUCAUCAAGAUAAGAUCGUACAGUGACUGAGUGAGACAAUAAAUAGCCAAGUAAACUAUUUUAUCCUGCUGCAAGCUGCAUUCAUAAGUUUAUUUCACCUUUGAUCACAAUACUCUUCACACACGUACGUCUCAGGGAGAUCUCACUUCCGCUGGACUGCUCACUUCCGCUGUCGUCGGUACUGCCAAAGACAUAAGCUCACAUCUGCUAUUGCGGAGCAGGCCAAUUUGCUGCGGAACUUCGGCGACGACCUGAAGGACAUGAACUCGGUGCUGGAGUCCAUCUCAGCAGCGCUCUAGGACGCUGACACCGGUAGAAAAACGACCUUCCAUCGUCAACAAAAAUCCCGGUAGCUUUUUUACUCGGUACUAAAGAGGUUUUAAUCUCGUGCAAACACCUUUAGUCCAGAUUGCUAUUACCACGCAACCCGGACUAAAGCGUCCCCCGCGAGUUAGUAUAUAAGGAUUGCAUCCUUUACUCAGUCAGAUAUAAUAUGUAGGUGAGAUGGUAAGGAAGCUAUGCGUGAGGCUUCAGGUUGUGGGUUCGAAUCCAAGUGGGUGCAGCUGUGGCUUAAGCGGCUGAGGCACGCCGCCAUAGACAUCUCAGAUUUGCUCGAAGACUACCAAGACACUAGUGAACCCUUAACAGUAAAGGUGAGUACUUAUGAAUGUCAGCAUCCAUGUUGUCCAUGCUUCCAAUGUAAUAACAAGAUGGACUACUCUUCCUAGCGGACUCUUCACAACCACUCGUAAAGCUAUGCGUUUCUCAAUGCAAUUUCGUAGAAGCCAAUCGAUCCAACCAAGUGACUAAAUCAUUCGUCCUUUCCAAUGAUGUGCAUCAGGUUUUCUAUAUGAAGGGCAUGUCUAGCAAACCUAAGAUUUCAGAAGAAAAAGAAAAAUCAUUGGAGCCAAAGAGCCACAUAGUUCUUCUAGGAAAAAAAUCAUGGGAGUCGAGAACAUAUCAAACCAAUCAGGGGAUUAUGGUCAGCUUAAUGGCAUGCCUCCAUUCGAUGUCGAAGUUCACCCAAGCAUCAUGUUAGCCAAACAUCAAAUGUUCGUGCGUUGUUACGGUAAAGAUCAAUUGUGUUUUUUAAACUCUUGGAAUUUUUUUAUCUAAGUUUUUAUUUACACUUAUUGGAUGUCUACACAUUUGCUAGAAAACUAAAAUAAUUUGGACUUAAUUAUUUCUUUCAACUGAAGUACUCACUAAAUUUCUACCUUUUUAUUUAAGCAAGAGAGUUGCUAAAAAAAAUGGAUACGUAACCAUGUUGUAUCAUACAAAGUAACCACGUUUCACAUAUAGUCCGGCUUAGCAAACACCAUUGUUUUCUGAACAUAGCGUACAUGAGUUAACAGACAUGGAUUUAUUUCUAUUGCAAGUAGCAUAGCGUACAACCUGCCUGCACCGAUGCAGCUCAAUAUGCGAUAAUUUUUAUCUUCCCAUGUAAUUUUUCUACUCUAGUACAUAUUGAACUCCACAUUAAUGUCAUGUUCUUUCGCGCCCCAGAAGGUUCCUAAAGUUUGGAAACUUAAUAGAUAGCCAGAAUUUUUUUUAAAGAUAUUUAUAUGGAUACUUGUAUGUUCUUUCCAAACUAACAAUAUUGUUUACCAAUAUCAGAAGGAAUAUGGUUAGGAGCCAUUGCCGCAUAUGGCAGGUGAUGGUAGAUGGCGUAUGGGGUUUCGUUAAUUUAAUGGUAUAAUAAGCUGAAAUACAUUUUCUAUUUGCAAAUGAAUCAUAGCUGAAAUUGGUGGGAUUGUUUUUUCGCCGGUUUAGCAUCCUGUGCACCAGUUCAACCGGAGGGAAGCUGUUUUUUUUCUUUGGUUUUCCACCGGUUCACCGAGACCGAUGACAAUUUUAUGGCAGAAUCAUUACUUGUUUUACUAUUAGGUGAAGAUUUUAGCGUUUAGGUAUCUCACAUUAAACGCAACUUCAACAAUCUAUUUCUAGUGUAUAAUGUAGGAGACCCCGUAAAGAGUCUACACACACAUAUAUGUUGACUAUGAAUGUAAGUUUGUUGGUUUUAUGUAUGUUCGUUUGGAGUUUAUAUAAAUUUUACAUUUUAUAGUUUUGUGUAUAUGACGAAGAUCCAUGACUUGCAUUAAUUUAGCCUUUCUUCCAACAACUCUUAUGCAUGAUGUUUCUAGGCGAGCGUACUGGUUGCAAUUUUGGUCCCCGAUAUAGUGUGAGGACUUAAGGGACACGUGCAGGUCGUAACCUUAGAUAUUUUUGCUGAGAAUGGAUGAAGAAGCAAUAAUAUACUUUGCUUCUGAUUUUCUCCAUGUCAUUUGCUUACUCUUAUCCCUUUUAUUUAUCAUUAUAAGAUGAAAAUAUUGUAAAAACUUGGCUACGUGCGGUCGCAGAAGCUAGAGACUAAAGCGUCCCCCACGAGUUACUAUAUAAAAGGAUUGCAUCCUCUACUCAGUCAUAUGUACUGUGUAGGUGAGAUGGUAAGGAAGCUAUGUGUGAGGCUUGAGGUUGUAGGUUCGAAUCCCACGCACCGCGUGCGCAUGCGCAUAUUUUGCGUGAAAAAUCGCAUGACUUGUGGUCGGCCAAGGAGAAGUGCGUGCGGCUGAGGCACGCCGCCAUAGACAUCUCGGAUUUGCUCCAAGACUACCAAGACACUAGCGAACCCUUAACGGCAAAGUUGAGUACUUACGCGUGUUAGCAUCUAUGUUGUCCAUGCUUCCAAUGCAAUAACAAGAAGGGCUACUCAUCCUAGCGGAUUCUUCACAACCACUCGUAAAGCUAUGCGUUUCUCAAUGCAAUUUCGUAGAUGUCAAUCGAUCCAACCAAGCGACUGAAUCAUUCGUCCUUGCUAAUGAUGUGCAUCAGGUUUUCUAUAUGAAGAACAUGUCUAGCAAAUCCAAGAUUUCAGAAGAAAAAUAAAAAUCAUGAGAACCAAAGCACCACGUAGUUCUUCCAGGUAAAAAAAACAAUCAUCCACUGGGAUGACACACAGUAGCGAUCCAAAACGUCCAUAUUAAGACUUUUUGAUAGCAGAAAAAACAUGAAAAUGUCUAAUAUUUGUAGUAUUAAAAGGAAAAAUAAUAUAUUCACUUGACCUUUUUUUCGUAGCAACGCACCGGUGCGUAGUCAGACUUAGGCCACGUUUGGAUACUCCCUACUAAAGUUUAGCACCUGUCACAUAGGAUGUUUGGAUACUAAUUAGGAGUAUUAAACAUAGGCUAAUUAUAAAACUAAUUGAACAGAUGGAGUCUAAUUUGCGAGACGAAUCUAUUAAGCCUAACUAGUCCAUGAUUUGACAAUGUGGUGCUACAGUAACCAUUUGCUAAUGGUGGAUUAAUUAGGCUUAAUAGAUUCGUCUCGCGAAUUAACAUAGGGUUCUGCAAUUAAUUUUAUAAUUAGCUCAUGUCUAGUCCUUCUAAUUAGCAUCCGAACAUCUGAUAUGAUACUGCUAAAGUUUAUCACCUAGUAUCCAAAUACCCCCUUAAUGCACGAUGCCUGUGCAUCCACUGGGCCUACCCUCGUGGAUCACGCGCUCGUGGAUCACGCGCACCAUGACAUGGCUCAUUAGCUAGUCGUGCUAAUCCUUACCACCAAAUUAAAAACUAGCAUGUGUUGUGUGUUUGUGACCCUAAACGACUACCACCUUCCCGAGUCCACCGGAGUUGCCAGUUCACCACUAAGCUGACUCUCCGAGCUUCAUGUCACUGUCACCGCUCCAAAGACCUAGAUCGGUUCGCUGUGCACCCCGCUUCGUCCUGAGCUAAAUCCCAUCACGAAAGGUGACCGGAUGCUCGUUUUCGAGCGAAUUCUAGCGAGAUUGCCACCACCUUUCCCCUUCCAGCCGAUCGCAGCUGUCUGAUCACAAACCGACAGCCCAGAUCGGAUUUGACCAGGUCAAUACCGGUCAAGCCGAGAUGCAUGCUGCUUUUGCAAGAAGGCCCCUAUUUUUCUCUCUUUUUGCACUUGAGGUCCUACGCAGUUCAAAAGUAAUUAGAUCUAGAUCCUUUUUCUUCUGUUUUAGCCCUGUUCUUUUAUAAAAUCCCACCCGCCAUCCUGUUUGGUAUUUUGACAUGUUAGACCUUCUAUUUAUAUGUUUAAUUAGGUUUUAGCCCUUGGUUUCUUUAAGUUUAGCUCUUGGAAGUUUAGUUUUCUCGCAGUUAAGCCCCUGAACCUUGUUUAGUUCAUAUCUUUAGCGUUUUAAAUCCGUUUUAAGAGAUUCUUACGCCCAUAAGUUCGUGUUGAUGCAUAGAUUAGUUGACUUAUACGGACCUUGCUGAUUCAGCUCCUUCAUUGUGCUUCAGAUCUCGCUAGUGAAGAAUAAUGGAUGGGCUUUGGUUGAGCUUGUAGAUCGACCUGCAGUUGCAGUGAAUGUGCUGAGGACUGGCGGUACCAAUAAUGGGAGGCCGCUGCUCUGCUUGCUACCAAGGCCUGCGACGCUUGGACGCCAUUCAGAGUGCAUAAUUUCCAAGGAUCUCAAGGGCUCCACACCACGUUCCAAGUGUUUUUUCUUUGCCGAGUGUUUUUAGCUCGGCACUUGGCAAAGAGCUUGUUUGCCGAGUGUCCGAAAAAAACACUUGGCAAAGAGAAAACACUCGGCAAAUUUGAUGUUUCCCGUAGUGAUGUACUAUUCAAACUUGAACUGGGAUGCAGGCUUCAGUACCAAAGAGAGCUCUGGGCGCGGGUGAGCAGUGAGCUGGCCGGGCAGGGAGCUCCAAAGCGACAGCAACAAAGAGAGAAAUGCUAAGAGUAAGAACGACACACGAGGUCACUUCACAUAGAUAAUAGCAGUACGAACCAUACAAUAUCCUCUCUCAGUUUCACUCCGCCUCACACACGGCUAGCACACCAUGCAUGCCGAUUUCAUAUUAUUAAUAUUAUUUUUUGGAUGGUUGUUGAAACUAUAUAUAUAGUUAGUCCAAUCUCACGUUUCCGAUUAUAAAAAUCAACGUAAAGAGAUCGGUAGGGAGAGCCGGCAUAAUGAAGCCGACGCGUGUAAUAAGCACCAGAGCCGGCAUUUAUACAAACUGGUACGAAUAGUAAAAAACUAGAAUUUAUAAAUAAAAAAAUGAUUUGCACAUCUAUGCAAUAAUUAGGGGUUAGUGGCAGGUCUAGAGAGAUAUCUCAUCAUUAUAUCCGGUUUAACGAGGAUAAAAAAGAGUGUAUUUUCCACUCAUCAUGUUGUCUUUUCGCAGCGGUACCACUUUUCGUGUGUUGUAUCGGUCCCCUAAUACGGAGUCUCCGAGGCCCGAGAAAAUAAGGAAAGUGAUAGUAGCCCAGAAAUCGGCCAAGUUUCUUUCCCCUUUGGCUUUCCUACUAGGAUUCAGAAUCCUCUUUCGCAUGACAAUCUUAAUUAUCUCCCAUACUCCAAAACUCACAAAAACAUCAAGAGUCCGCUGAGAAUAAAUUUAAGUAAAAAACAUGCACACACAGAUAAUAAUAAUAAUCAUGUUUCCAUAAAAUUGCUAAGUCCAGAGAUAAUACAUAAACAUAGUAGACUGUUCAUGACACAUAUCACGGUGGACAGUGUUUGUGUCCUUAUUACAAGCAACGAGAGAUGCUCGUCACCAACACGCGCGCGCACAGAUGCACGACAUACAUAUAGUAGAGACCAACAGAUGGUCGUCCCAUAUGGUGAACAAUUUAUUGGAGAUAAAUAUUAACGUAACUUGGCCAUAGCUUGAAGCAUAGCAACAUAUGCCUAUGAGUGGCAUUCAUGCUAUCGUUUUAGGCUUGUCCAGCUCCUUCCAUCUUAGCAAGCACUUCCAUUUCUACCAUCUUAGCAGCAACUGUCAAAUUGAGAUACGGAAAUCCCAUUAGCGCAUGAGUUAAUUUUGCAGUGGAAAUAGAGUACAAGAUGUCUUCAUGAUGUAAGUAAUAUGCCUGAAGUUGUGAGAUGGGAAGUGAAGUCAACAAAUUACAUUAACGGAAAUGCAUGGAAGGCCACACAUACGUAUUAGUCCAUGAUAUGCUACAAAGCUUGUAUGUACAUAUAGCAAAUUAAAUGCAUUAAUUGAAUAGAGUGUGUUUAGUGAAUUUACCAGAAUCGUCCAGAAAACAUGGGAAACAGCAAGUGUUCUUGCAGACUGCGUCGGAGGCACCCGCACGAAUACAAAGCUGACAACAUAGUUUUGCCUGGGCGGAUGCGCAGCAGCCGCACUCCGCCGCGGUGGGGUUAACAUUGAGGCUCAAGAUGACCAGGCACAUGAUCACCAUCAAAGUGGUAGUCCUCUUUCCCUCCAUUGCCUCCUCUUAGCUUGCUGCUACCUUCCUUGGUUACCUAGCUAAGUUUAUUGGUUUUGUGUUGAGAGGUGUGAUUCUUGAAUGGACGUUGCCGGCGGCAAUUUAUAGGCAGCUGAGCUAUGUGAUGAUAUGGACUAGGUGCAAAUGGGUGGUUAAUGGCAAGGAAAGGGGCGUCAGACAAAGCCCAAUGGCAACUGCUGACAUGCGAUUAAAUUCAGAUCCACAUCCGGCCAUUCAAUAAUACGGUUGGAGUUGUGGCACAGAUAUAUUAUUGCAUGAUCAUCAAGAUAAGAUCGUACAGUGACUGAGUGAGACAAUAAAUAGCCAAGUAAACUAUUUUAUCCUGCUGCAAGCUGCAUUCAUAAGUUUAUUUCACCUUUGAUCACAAUACUCUUCACACACGUACGUCUCAGGGAGAUCUCACUUCCGCUGGACUGCUCACUUCCGCUGUCGUCGGUACUGCCAAAGACAUAAGCUCACAUCUGCUAUUGCGGAGCAGGCCAAUUUGCUGCGGAACUUCGGCGACGACCUGAAGGACAUGAACUCGGUGCUGGAGUCCAUCUCAGCAGCGCUCUAGGACGCUGACACCGGUAGAAAAACGACCUUCCAUCGUCAACAAAAAUCCCGGUAGCUUUUUUACUCGGUACUAAAGAGGUUUUAAUCUCGUGCAAACACCUUUAGUCCGGAUUGCUGUUACCACGCAACCCGAACUAAAGCGUCCCCCACGAGUUACUAUAUAAGGAUUGCAUCCUUUACUCAGUCAGAUAUAAUGUGUAGGUGAGAUGGUAAGGAAGCUAUACGUGAGGCUUCAGGUUGUGGGUUCGAAUCCAAGGAGAAGUGGGUGCAGCUGUGGCUUAAGCGGCUGAGGCACGCCGCCAUAGACAUCUCAGAUUUGCUCGAAGACUACCAAGACACUAGUGAACCCUUAACAGUAAAGGUGAGUACUUAUGAAUGUCAGCAUCCAUGUUGUCCAUGCUUCCAAUGUAAUAACAAGAUGGACUACUCUUCCUAGCGGACUCUUCACAACCACUCGUAAAGCUAUACGUUUCUCAAUGCAAUUUCGUAGAAGCCAAUCGAUCCAACCAAGUGACUAAAUCAUUCAUCCUUUCCAAUGAUGUGCAUCAGGUUUUCUACAUGAAGGGCAUCUCUAGCAAACCCAAGAUUUCAGAAGAAAAAGAAAAAUCAUUGGAGCCAAAGAGCCACAUAGUUCUUCCAGGAAAAAAAAAUCAUGGGAGUCGAGAACAAAUCAAACCAAUCAGAGGAUUAUGGUCAGCUUAAUGGCAUGCCUCCAUUCGAUGUCGAAGUUCACCCAAGCAUCAUGUUAGCCAAACAUCAAAUGUUCGUGCGUUGUUACGGUAAAGAUCAAUUGUGUUUUUUAAACUCAUGGAAUUUUUUUUCUAAGUUUUUAUUACACUUAUUGGAUGUCUACACAUUUGCUAGAAAACCAAAAUAAUUUGGACUUAAUUAUUUCUUUCAACUGAAGUACUCACUAAAUUUCUACCUUUUUAUUUAAGCAAGAGAGUUGCUAAAAAAAAUGGAUACAUAACCAUGUUGUAUCGUACAAAGCAACCACAUUUCACAUAUAGUCCGGCUUACCAAACACCAUUUUUUACUGAACAUAGCGUACAUGAGUUAAGAGACAUGGAUUUAUUUCUAUUGCAAGUAGCAUAGCGUACAACCUGCCUGCACCGAUGCAGCUCAAUAUGCGAUAAUUUUUAUCUUCCCAUGUAAUUUUUCUACUCUAGUACAUAUUGAACUCCACAUUAAUGUCAUGUUCUUUGGCGCCCCAGACGGUUCCUAAAGUUUGGAAACAAAAUAGAUAGCCAGAAAUUUUUUUAAAAAAUAUUUAUAUGGAUAUUUGUAUGUUCUUUGCAAACUAACAAUAUUGUUUACCAAUAUCAAAAGGAAUAUGGCUAGGAGCCAUUGCCGCAUAUGGCAGGUGAUGGUAGAUGGCGUAUGGGAUUUCGUUAAUUUAAUGGUAUAAUAAGCUGAAAUACAUUUUCUAUUUGCAAAUGAAUCAUAGCUGAAAGUGGUGAGAUUGUUUUUUCGCCGGUUUAGCAUCCUGUGCACCGGUUCAACUGGAGGGAAGCGGUUCACCGAGACGGAUGACAAUUUUACGGCAGAAUCAUUACUUGUUUUAUUAUUAGGUGAAGAUUUUAGCUUUUAGGUAUCUCACAUUAACAAUCUGUUUCUAGUGUAUAAUGUAGGAGACCCGUAAAGAGUCUACACACACAUAUAUAUGUUGACUAUGAAUGUAAGUUUGUUGGUUUUAUGUAUGUUCAUUUGGAGUUUAUAUAAAUUUUACAUUUUAUAGUUUUGUGUAUAUGACGAAGAUCCAUGACUUGCAUUAAUUUAACCUUUCUUCCAACAACUCUUAUGCAUGCUGUUUCUAGGGGAGCGCACUGGUUGCAAUUUUGGUCCCCGAUAUAGCAUGAGGACUUAAGGGAGACGGGCACGUCGUAACCUUAGAUAUUUUUGCAAGAAGCAAAUUAUACUUUGCUUUUGAUUUUCUCCAUGCCAUUUGCUGACUCUUAUCCCUUUUAUUUAUCAUUAUAAGAUGAAAAUAUUGUAAAAACUUGGUUACGUGCGGUCGCAGAAGCUAGAGACUAUUUCUUUUUUUAAAAAUACGCAAGAGGGAGAAACUUGGUAACAGCUAGACAGUGAAGAUCGCAUUUCAUAAGAAAGAUGGUGCACGUUCUUGUUUGGCUGUUAACGAAAUGACUUCGUUUCACCACACCACCAGAGAGCCCCAUUGCACUUGCAGCAAAAGCGUGGAGCCGCUUUCAACCAGCGUGCAAUAAUGCAGUCCCGCGUGUCUUGGUCUUACAGGAUAUUUGGUUCUUUAGUCCGGACUAAAAUUCAUGUCGCAUAGAAUAUUCAGAUGUUAAAUAGGAGGACUAAACAUGAGCUAAUUAUAAAAAUAAUUACACAAAUGGAGGCUAAUUCCCAAGACAAAUCUAUUAAGUCUAAUUAAUCCAUCAUUAGCACAUGUUUACCGUAGCACCGUAUUGUCAAAUCAUGGACUAAUUAGGCUUAAUAAAUUCGUCUCGCAAGUUAGUCUCCAUCUAUACAAUUUGUUUUAUAAUUAGUCAAUGUUUAAUACUCUAUCUAAACAUUCAAUGUGACUGAAAUUUUAGGAGGUCCUAAAGAACCAAACACCCCUUAGUCUCCGCCUGAACUAUAGCAGGUGCUGGCAGCGGUAGCAGGGUCGUCCAUUAUAUCUAUGGAUGGAAAUGAUCUGAUUCGGAUGGAAUCGAAUUCGAAUAGCACUUUUUACCACAUACUAAUCUGAAUUGGAUGUUCUCGAAUGUGAAUGCAAAACGGAUAGUUCAAAUUUGAAUACUUUGCGGAUUUUUGCAUAAUAUUAAUCGAAGAGAAUUUGUUAAAUUUAGCCGAGACAUAAAUUUUUCUAAAUUCAAAUACUUUGCAGAUUUUCGAAUGCAAAUUUUUUCAUACGAUCUCGGUUGAAUACAAACUUUAUAUCAAAGUUGUAUAUUUAGAUUAUAUAUAAAACUUUGUAGUUGACCUCCUUUUCAUUUAAAAUUUUUUAAUAGCUCAAAACAUUAUUCUAAGCUUUCUAAUUUCAAAAUCUUGAAUUUUAAAUUUUUCAAACGACCUCGGAUGCAAACAAGCUCUAUAUCAAAGUGCUUAAUGAGAUAUAAAAUUUUGUAGUUGACAAGUUUUUUAGUUGAAAACAUUUAGUUAUCACAAACAUACAAGUUCUUCAUUUGAUGUCGAGGAUUGGAAGUGUUGAGUUUGAAGAAUAUAUUCUUUGAUUACAAACUUUUCCAUAUGAUCUUGGAUGAAUACGAACUUUAUUUCAAAGUUGCAAAUUUAGAUUAGACCAAAAACAGUAUAGUUUACAAUUUUUUCAUUCAAAAUUAUUUAGUAGCUCAAAAUGUUAUUCUAAACUCUCUAAUUUUGAAAUCUUGAAUUUUAAAAUUUUCAAAUGACCUCGGAUGCAAACAAGCUCUAUAUCGAAGUGGUAGUUCUUAAUGAGAUAUAAAAUUUUGUAGUUCCAUCUGAGAUCAUUUAACAGUCACAAAUAUACAAGUUUUUCAUAUGAUGCUAAGGAUCAGAAAGAUUAAGUUUGAAGGCUGUAUUUUUUUAAUACAAAUUUUUGCAUACGAUCUCGGAUGAAUACAAACUUUAUAUCAAAAUUGUAGAGCUCGAUGAGAAUUUAAACUUUGUAGUUGAUAUAUUUUUCAUUCGAGAAUGUUUAGUGGUCCAAACAUGUAUUAUAAGUUCAGAGAAGAAACACACAAUCGGCCACGUCAUCAAUUGACAACUUCCAAACUGAGCAUUCCUAUUGGUUCACACCUUUCCCUUUCAACUCGUCAAGCUUAUCUCCUCCCACUCCUCCAUCGUUCACUCCCCCUUCCCCUUCCUCUCUCCCUCCCUCCCUCCGCUCCAGCAGUGGCAGCCCGACCUGCCUCCUAGGACGGUGGUGUGCGGGGCUCGGGCAUCCCUGGCCUCUAGUGGCGUGGCAGGGCGGCCUCCAGCAGCGAUGGCGGAACUCGGCCUCCGGUGGCGCACAGGCAGCGCAGCCUACCUGGUCAAAGGCGGCGCAACAGGGCGACCUCCCCAGCCUCCGGCGGCGCGCAGGGCAUCCAUGACCUCCCCGGCCUCCCUUGCCAGAGGUGGUGCGCGGGGCUGCGCCGACCUCCCCAACCAGAGGUGGCAAGGCCCCAGCUUACGGCGGCGCGUGGCUCCCCAGCUAGGGUGUGGUGGGGCGGCGGCAAGUCAGGCGUGGCCGCGUGGGGGUGGGGGGAGGGGGUUGGGCUGGGCGGAUUCAGAUAGUAUCCAUUUAACCAUCCGAAAUGUGGAUAUCCGUUUAACAAUCCGUUUAGCAAAACCGAAUUUGGAUACUUCCACUUAAGUAUCCAACUAGGAUUCGAAUGCGGAUGGUCCUACCAUAUUGUUAUUUCAGCGGAUACGAAUAUGGGAUAAUUCGAAUAACGACUUACCCAUCCCUGAUUAUAUCCGUGUAAAUAAAUAAUUGCGGCAGCAGGUUCCCGUCGCCACGCCCCCGUCAAACCAAACAAUUGCUUGCGCGACACCGUGUUACUAGAUCUUGUACAGUACUCCCUCCGUUGCAGUACUCCCUAAUGAAAGUUGAGAAUCGAUCGACAACCACGGCUAGUUGCUAUGCACUCGAUCAGAUGGUCCAGGCGCCCGCUGGUAAUCAGGUCGUGGUUCACGCGCAUCAGGCCAGCUAUGACGUUGCCAGCAGUGCUCAGUACACAAAUCUAGCUAUCAGUCGGAUCCAAUUGGGCAGGCAUUUGCACUGUGGUUGUGUUUGAACCUGUAGAUGUCGUUGUCAUUAUCAGGCACCAUACAUCCUCUCUCAGAGGGUGUUUCACCCCCUAAACUUUAGCCCCUCUCACAUCGAAUGUUUUAGAUACUAAUUAGGAAUAUUAAACAUAGAAAAUUUACUAAACCCAUUACAUGGAUGGAGGGUAAACGGCGAGACAAAUCUAUUAAAUCUAAUUAGUCCAUGAUUUGACAAUGUGCUGCUAUAGUAACUAUUUGCUAAUGAUGGAUUAAUUAGACUUAAUAGAUUUUUCUUGCUGUUUAGCCUCCGUCUGUGCAAUUAGUUUUAUAAUUAAUUCAUAUUUAGUCCUCCUAAUUAGUCUCCGAAUAUUUGAUGUGACACGGACUAAACUUUAGAUAGCACACCAGGGACCGACACCAUGCAUGCUGAUUUCAUAUCAUAAUUAAGGAAAGUGAUAUCAUAAUUAAGGAAAGUGGUAGCAUCCAAGAAAUCGAUCAUGUUUCUUCCCCCUUUGGCUUUCCUACUAGGAUUUGGAUAGCGGGCCUUCCUACUAGGAUUUGGAAUCCGCUAUCGCAUGACUAUCUUAAUUAUGUCCCAUAGUCCAAAACUCACAAAACAUCAAAAAUCCAUCGAGAAUAAAUUAAGUAAAAAACAUGCGCACACAGAUAAUAAUAAUAAUAAUCAUGUUUCAAUAAAAUUGCUAAGAUUAGAGAUAGUACAUAAACAUAUUAGAUUGUUCGUGACACAUAUCAUGGUGGAUAGUGUCUGUGUCCUUAUUACAAGCAGCGAUAGAUGCUUGUCACCACACACACGCACGCACAGAUGCACGACAUACAUAUAGUUGAGACCAACGGAUGGACGUCCCAUAGGGUGAAUAAUUUAUUGGAGAUAAAUAUUAACAUAACUUGGCCAUAGCUUGAAGCAUAGCAACAUAUGCUUAUGAAUGGCAUUCAUGCGGGUAGCAAUGCUAUCAUAUGCUUUUAGGCUUGUCCUUAGCUUCUUCCAUCUUAUAGCAAACACUGCCAUUUCUUCCAUCUUAGCAGCAACUGUCAAAUUAAUUGAGAUAUGGAAAUCCCAUUAGCGCAUGAGUUAAUUUUGCAGUGGAAAUAGAGUAGAAGAUGUCUUCAUAAUGUAAGUAAUAUGACUCUGACAUAGGGAGUGAAGUCAACAAAUUACAUUAACGGAAAUGCAUGGAAGGCCACGCAUAUGUAUUAGUCCGAUAUGCUACAAAGCUUGUAUGUACAUAUAAUAAAUUAAAUGCAUUGAAUAGAGUGAUUUUAGUGAAUUUACCUAAAUCGGAUUAAAAAACAUGGGAAACAACAAGUGUUCUUGUAGGGCUUUGUUUAGUUCCCAAAUUGGGAGUAGCAAAGUUUGCAUUUUACCAUAAAUGCGCAACUAUAGCAUGUAGCAUUUUGUUUGUAUUUGUGAAUUAUUAUCCAAACAUUGACUAAUUAGGCUCAAAAGAUUCAUCUCGCAAAGUACAACAAAACUGUGCAAUUAGUUUUUGAUUUCGUCUACAUUUAGUACUCCGUGCAUGUACCGCAAGUUUGAUGUGAUGGGGAAUCUUGCUUUUCAAUAGUGACAAAGUUGGGAUUUCGGGGGGAAGGCCUGUGUCGGAGCCACAUGCAAGAAUGGCUGACAUUGAGGCUCAGACAAAGCCCAAUGGCAACUGCUGACAUGCGAUUAAAUUUAGAUAUCCACAUCCAGCCAUUCACAUUUAUGAGAUAUGGACACGGUGCAAAUGGGUGGGGUCCUGAUAUGGAGGUGCGAAUGGCUGUCUACUUGUAUAGUGUAGCUCCAAUGUACGUAUAUGUAUCUUAUGCAUGUAUACAGUUGCACAAACUCUGAACCAACUCUUCAUAACAGGUCUUUGUUACCAAGUAACUUUACUUUUGCACGUUUCAGCCGAGAGGUAGAAGAGAAUAUUUUUGCAUUUUCCAUGUGCGUCAGUGGUAGAGAACUAGGAAUUAGUUCCGGAUGGUAGGGCACAAAUCUUCCAAACAACUAUCCGAAAUUAAGCAAUCGAGAUAAAGGGUGCCAUCUAUUCUCUCCGAAAAACACAGGUACCAAAAAGAAGAAGAGAAGAGGGAGGGCCUCCCGUUAAGGCCCGCUCGGGGUCUCCAUCCCACCACGCGCCCUCCCAACCCAAAGCCCAUCGUUUUCCCUCCGUCCCUCCCCUCUCCAUUGCCGCCGCCGCUCCCCUCAUCCGAGCUCGAUACGGGUGGUCGGCGGCCCCUCCUCUCCGCUCCCGCCCCCGGCCUCCCUUUGACCGCCGGGCGCCGGCAUCACUGCCGCGGCCAACCCCAGGGCGCAGCGCGUGCCUCUAUUUCUCUCCCCCGUUCAAGGGCCCUUUGAUGGCGACGAGCACCCACCCACCAGGUAUGCCCUCCCCUUCUCUUCCUAACCCUAAUAUAUUCGGAUCUCACCCAGUCACAAUAUAUUACCUAAUAGCUUCGAUUUUGUUUGCAAAAAUCAUCACGUGCGCACCCAUGUCCGCUAGAUUCUUGCGCCUGAUCCUGUGCUGCUAUGGUUUGGGCGGGGUAGACUAGUUGAUUCGUGCACUUUUGGGUGCUUGUAGUGCUAGGUUUUGGAGGGGGAUAGCCCAGUUGAUUCCUCCGUUUUGGGUGCUCAUGGUGAUAGGAUUUGGAUGGGGAUAGCCCCAAUGAUUCGUGCGCCUUUGGGUGCUGGGGAUAGUUUUGGGUGCCUGGAUAGUCCAGUUUCAAUGUCAGUAUAUGCGUAUUUUGGGGAGAAUUUUGUUUUGGGUGGUUCUGGUGCUAGAGUUUCUGAUGCUUAGUAGCCCAGUUUCAAUCAAAUUCCCCCAUGGGUCGUGCACUACGGGAAACAAGAAAAUUGCCGAGUGUAUUUUUUUUGUCGAGUGUUUUUUUUCGAGCACUCAGCAAACAAGCUCUUCGCCGAGUGCCAAGUCAAAAACACUCGGCAAAAAAAAACACUCGGCAAAUCGGGGCUUUGCCGAGUGUCAAAUAAAAAACACUCGGCAAAGAAGGGGGUUUGCCGAGUGUUAAAAAAAACACUCGGCAAACAGGAGGGUUUGCCUAGUGUUUUUUUGACACUCGGCAAAAAAAUAAUUGUUUUUCCUCUUUUCACCUUGAAAUUUUUUCUACUCCCCACAUACAACACGUGGUACUCCAUGUUAAAAUUUGGUAUAUUUUUGGAUUUAUUUGCUAUAUUUAUUUAAUUAAUUGCAUUACAAGGAAAUUUUUGGUAUAAGUCAAAUUUGAACUGCAAGUGAUUCAAAUUGUGGAACAAAAUGAGUAGAAAAAUGAUAUUCAUGUUAUUUGGCUCAAUUUGAGACCUGACCCAUGAAAUGAAAAGAAAUUUCGAACAUCUUGUUCAGGAAACACGACAAUGAACAUGUGGCGGUAGUAUUUUUAAAUUGUAAAAAAAACAAGCAAAGUCUGAAAAUCAUGAGAUUUGUAGUUAUGUGAUGAUAUAAUACGUGGAAGCUGUGGAAAAAAAUUGGAAAGGUUUUGCACAUUUCAUCAUGUACGAUGAUUACAAACCGAAGCAUAUCAGAAGAAGAAUAGUAACUUUGAGAAGGAUUCGAUAAAAUUUAGAGUCGAAGUGACGGUCGAGUUCGGUUUGACUACAAAACUUUUUGUAUAGUCAGUAGAGAACAUAUCUUAUUUCGUGUGAAAAUUUGGUAUUUUUUGAAACUGUUGGAUAUUUUUAAUUUUUUUUUAAAAAAACUUUGCCGAGUGUCCUAGGGUAGACACUCGGCAAAGAAAAACUUUACCGAGUGCCCGCCUAGGACACUCAGCGAACCUUUUUUUAAACCUACCGGCUCCGGCCGGCCCAGCCCACAAACACCACCCGCCCCCCGCCCCCGCGCCUUCUUCCUCACGCCGCCCCCGCCCCCCACCCGUGCCUCCGGACCGCCCCCUCCUCCCCCUGGCCUCCCCUCACGCCGCCCCCCUCCUCCCCUAGCUCCCUCCACCGGCGGCCCUCCCUCCCCCGGCGCACAUCCUCCACUCCUCCUCCCCUUCCCUUCCCUCCCCUCCCCUCCCCUCUUCCUCCCCUGGCCGGAUCUGGCGCCCCUAGCUCCCCUUUCUUCCGCGGCCAGAUCUGGCGCCCUCCCGGCGGCGGGUCGUGGCGAUCGGGGCGGCGGCGGCGGAUCAGGCCGCGGGGCGGCGGCGGCGGCGGGUCGUGGCUACCGGGGCGGCGCCCUGCCCCUCCCCUCCCUCUCCAUCUCCGGCUGCCGUCCACCCCCUCCCCGGAUCCGCCCCCCUCCCCUCCGCGCGGCCAGCCCCUCCUCCCUCUCCGGCCGCCGCCCCGGCCCCUCCUCUCCCUUUCUCCGGCCACCGCCCCGCCCAUCUUCUCUGGAUCCGGCCGGAUCCGGCCGCCGCACAGCCCCUCCUCCCCGGAUCCGGUGGGCGCGGACUUCGUGGUGGUGGCGCCGGAUCCCUCCCCUCCCUCUCCAGAUAACUCCCUCCACUCCUCCGCUCUUCCCCUCUCUCGCGCGGCGGCCUCUCUCCGGCCGCCGCCCCGCCCCUCUCCCCGGAUCCGGGGGGGGGGGGACUCCGCCCCUCUGCCCCGGAUCCAGCUCCCCGACCCGCGAGUGGGGCGAGCUUGCUCAUGCGGUCGACGUCGAGGCCAGGGUGUGGUGGAGGUGGUGGCCGGCGGGUGUGGUGGUGGUGGCGGCGGCGGGCAUGGCGGCGCGGAGGCAAGGCACGGCGGCCGGUGGGAGGCACGGGUGCAAGGCGUCGACGGCAGGAGGCAAGGCACGGCAGCAUGGGAGGUGGUGCUGUGGUGGUGGUGCUGGCGGUGGUGGCGGCGGCGGAGCAGGAUGUGGUGGUGGCGGAGGAUGUUUUUUUUUCAAAAAUUUGUUGCCGAGUGUUUUCUCGGCACUCGGCAAAGACUUUACCGAGUGCCCGACACAAAACACUCGGCAACUCAGUGUUUGCCGACUGAAAAAUUGCCGUGUGCCGUUUGCCGAGUGUUACACUCGGCAAACGGUUCGCCGAGGGUUUUUUGCCCUUCGCCGAGUGCCCCUAGCACUCGGCAAUUUCACUAUCUCCCGUAGUGGUGGCUGGACUUAUGGGGGGAUCAUUGAUGGGGGACUAGUUGGAUACUUUUUGGCUGUUUUGGGAGUCCUUGGCAGCGGCUUCUCAGGGCGUACGUAGCCCAUUGUAGAUUCCAGCCGAGAAGAUUAAGGAAUUGUGACUGCAACCAUGUUACUUUUCUAGGACUCUGUUUCUGAUAUUGUUCCCGCUGCAUCUUUUCAUCCCCAUGGUGAAUGUUGCUGUUGAUCUGUAGAUUGGAUUUGUUCCUCGGUAGCUUUAUUAGAUUUGUGCUGAAUGAUAAUCUCUGCCUGUGAUAUUUUUCUUCAUUGCGGAUGUGUGCCGAGUAUUAUCCCCUUUGUUCAUUCUGUUGGCUUUUUUUAUUGUCUCUGUACUCGGCUGUUCAGCUUGUGCAGCUAAUGAUCUAAUGUAUUUUGUCGUAACUAUGUAUUUUUCGGAUGUGUGCCGAGUAUUAUCCCCUUUGUUUAUUCUGUUGGCUUGCUUUCAUUGAUCUUAAGAUAACUGGUGCUAUAAAUUCACACUAGCUGAUGCACUUGCAAAUAGCUAUGUAAAUAUGAAAAGAAGUAUUUUUUUAUCCUUUUGUUUGUUUGGCAUCAUAUCUGUUUAAAUGGCAUAGCAAUAAGAAUUUUUUGUUUUUGGGGAAUCAUAUCUGCUUAAAUGGUAUAGAAAAUGCUGAGUGCACUGUCAAAUAGAUUUUCCAGCAGUCUGCUUUCAGUUGUUUUUGCAAAUCCUCACAGGCCAGUGAACUGACUUUGUUUUUACCACCCCAUGCCAUUUAAAUGACUAAAUCAGUCAGCCUAAUACUAUAUAUGGUCAUGCUAUGAUCUUAUUUCUUGAAGCUCUAUAGGUCAACCCAUAAGGGUAACUUAGUUUUUCCUAUUCUGGCUGGGGAAGUGGAUACGAUGGCUAUCCUUGGUAGAGUUAAAUACAUUGGCGGCUCUUAGCGCGCCAAUGUGGCACCACAAUAUCGAACAUAUGUAGAAACCCCCUUGUUUUUUCUCAUAUCCCUCUCUCUCAGCGUCCUCUUCUCUUCUUCUCCUCUGUCUCCUCCCCUCCCAUCGCGUGCUUUAUUGCGCCGCCGCCAUCCGCCUCCAUGUAUGAACACGUCGUUUGUCAUGAAGAAGCAGUUGAUGAGGCAAUCAAGCAUGUGGUGCACAAGGUUCUUCUGCUGGCCAAGUCCGAGUCGAACAGCCGCGCAUUCAUUGGGGAAGCACGCGCCAGGCAUCACCAGGCUCCUCGUGCCCCUACUCUGCUCCAAGGACUCGGUGCUUCGACGCGCUGCUUUCCCUGUCCGGCGAGCGGGGAUCGUUGGGAGAUGAUCGAUGGAGGAUGGAGCUGAUCCUCCUGUACACGGUGCCGGUGGGGAGCAGGGAGCUGCGGAGCAGGUCCACGGGCGGCGCCAUUACAGCAGGUGCAGGCUAAGGGUAAUGAGCAGAUCGAGGCGAUGGAGGAGGACCCGCACGAGGUGCAGCUUCUUCGCCUCCUGCGCAAAGUCAGCGCCCAAGCAGCCGCUGAGGGACAGGCCGAGGCUUAGCUCGAUCUCAUCCGACUAAAUGGUGGCUGCACUCCCACAGUCCCACUGGUGCUCCUCCCUUCUGUCCGAACCUGCCGAGGAAAUCCCUCGAUGCCAUGGGUCCCGGCUGGACGACUACUCCUCCCACAGAUUGACUGAGGAAGAAGAGCUUCUCAGUGUCCAAAAAUUCAGUUACACUGGAAACAGCAACCAAUUACGUUCUUCCGGCUCAGCCAAGCCCCAAUCUCCUUGCUUCUGUGCGCCCCUGCUAAAUAUUCCAGAAACCAAUCUGGUUAGUUGUUUUUUCACAUUUUCAGUGCAUGCCGGUGCUGCUGUGUGCGGCAUGCAUGGAGUUGUCGUGGGAGUGCACGGUGGCUUAGCUGGUGCGCCAGUGCGCGGGCACGAACACAACGGUGAAGAUGGCAGGGCCAUCUCAAAGCUCCUGAGCACCUGCACGCGUCGCUGAGCAGGACAUGCUGCGACGGUGGGCGAGCGCUGCUAACGCCCUGGGGAAGAGCAGUGGGUGCAGAGAGAGGGAGCGAGGGAGAGGGGUUCUUGUAUAUGUUUGCUAGCGUGGCACCGUUUACGGUGCCCGCCUAAGUGGCAUUCACGUGUCAUUCAUCCCAAAUGGUGUUGCAAGGUUGAACCUAUUGUGGGAGGCUUUUGGUUUCCCUUGACAGUAUCACCAGUGAUAUCACUGCGUUCUGGUUAUGUAUGAAACACUUGUCCUUUUAAAACCUUUCUGAAUUUAGAAACGAAUUUGAAACAUUACCCUCAUUUCCAUGUUUUUCUAUCUUUUGUCCCUGUAAAAUCAAACUAAAUUUGAAUUAUUAUGUUCAGAACUACAAGCUGAUUUACUUGUCCCAUUUGCUAAUAACAGGGCCUUGUGAUUUCUAAUGAACAUUGCAGAGCAUGUUAUAAAGCGUAUGCAUGAACACCAAGGGGAUGAAACCAUUGGUAUAUUUCUCACAACCUUUUGAACUUAUCAUUUAGCAUAUUUGUGUUCUAGUGUGACGUUUCAGCCACGAGACAUGAGAAAUGUUAGCUAUGGAUUUUGGUUAUUCAUCAUGGGUUCACAGAUUUGUUUUUCUCUAAAAGAAUUGGGAAGUAGCUUUCUUUCUGGGUAUAUGUGGGGAAAUGCAUAUGCAAUCUUUUAUUUAUUGAGGUGACUGUAAAAUUCUUGUCUGACUGAAUAUGCGAUUUCAACCUACAUGCUAUACUUAGGGAAAUUUGUGAAUCUCCUAAUGUCUGCUGCAUGGCAUGAAUGCAUAUUUUACUGGUCCAUAAUGUGAAGUUCUGUAUAUAAACUUCUCGUGUUGACCCUUUAGAACAUGCUAACUGGAGAGUUUUCUAGAGUAGUUAAACAAGAGAUUUAGUUAAAUCUGCACACAUAGGUGGGGCCUGGCAUACCCUAAGAAUCGGCCUAGCCGGUCAGCCCAUUAGUAAAAAAAAAAGCACCGCAGUCAGCAGUCCCCACGUUGGUCUUCCUCGAGUCGCGACUCGCGAAGCUCCCAUCCUCCGAGUCCAAGAUGGUGGACUGUGUCGAGCGCGGGGCGGGCGAUUAGUUGCCCGGCCGCCGGCGGGGGAUGGCCGGACGGCCAGAUCGCCGACUCCUCUAGUCCUCCCUCCAGCCUCUGCGCUUCUUUCACAGUGGAGCUAGCGGCGAGGCGCCCGACCGACACCCUUCUUCCCAAAUCCCGGCAGCCCUACCUCGAUUUGGCCUCCUCCGAUCAUUUGAUAAUCAAUUUGAUGAAAUUAAUAUGGAGUUGCUUUCUUGUAUGGUUGCCUUCAAUCCUGCUAAUUCAUUUGCUUCAUUUGAUGCACAAAAGAUACAUAGACUUGCUAUAUUUUUAUCCACAAGACAUCACAAGCACGGAUUUGCUAAAACUUGAAUUCCAGCUCGAUAUUAUAUUGAUGAUGUGAGAUAGGAUGAUAGUUUCAAAGGCCUACAAGAUCUUGUUAACUGAGACUCAGUUAAGCUUGUUGAAACAAACAGGCAUAAUAUUUAUGACUUGGUUUACUUGCUUCUCAAAUUGGUAUUGGUUCUUCUUGUGGCGACAGCUAGUGUUGAAAGGGAUUUUUGUGCAAUGACUUUGAUCAAGAGUAAGCUAAGAAAUAAGAUGGGUGAUAGUCUUUUGGAUGAUUGUCUUAUCACAUUCAUUGAGAAAGAUAUUUUCUUUGAAGUGGAUGAAGAAGAUAUAAUUAAGACUUCAUAUCCAUUAGAAAUCGUAGGCUGGAGAAGAAGUAAUAUUUUAAUUUUCUUUGAACGUUAGGUCUGUAAGCUUCUUUUAAACUAUCUACAUUAUAAUUUAUGGACCUUUUAAUUUAACCGUUGAAUUCAUGAUAUUAUGAGAUUUUUUUAUCUAUGUUAUUAUUGUUUACCGAUUUAUUACCAAAUUAUUAGUUUGAUCUUACAAUAUUGUAUUUUGGAUGAUUGGCUCGGCAUACUCUAAGUUUAAAUCCUAGCUCCGCCACUGUUUGCACAUUAAUGUGGCUUAUAUGUGUGGAGUCACUUAACCUAUGCACUUGGACCUCCACUCCCUUAGGUUUUAUGAACCUAAUUUGACAGCCUGCUCGUCUUUUAUUUUCUACCAAUCAGCUAGGAACGAACAUGGUGAUGUUUGCAUCUCUGCCAUCAAUGGCUUACAUGUCAUUAUGUAUCACAUUAGCAAGUCUUGUUUUGUUAUUGGCUGGGAUGACGGGGACUCUAGCUGGAAUUGAAUCAAAGUGGUAGAUCACAGGGUAUUCAUUGCCAUGUAUUUCUGCAGUUGCAUGGACUUGCAUCAAACGGACCUUCCUACUUAUGUGAUUGUCCUAUAUGAUCUCCUUUGAUUUCAUUUGCACACUGUAAUCACAUUAGCUAGAACACUCGCUUUUUGCUUCAAAUUUGAAAUUCAUAUCAUGAUGGACUAGAACGCUGAAUUUCUUGAUUGCUGAGUUACUAAUCACAUUGUGGCGCUGCCAAAGAAGCUGGACUCUUCAUUGUUGUUGCCUUGUGGGCUGCCGUGUGCAAAGAACAAGAGCGCACGGUAUUAUAAUAGCAGAGCAGAACACAGACAAGCGACAAGGAGCGGAGCAGAGCAGAGCACAGCCAGGCACAAGCAGUAGAGUAGAGCAGAGCAACCGGGAGAGGAGAGGGCACAUAUGCAGAGUAGAGCAGAGCCAAGCGCAAGCAUUCAUGCACUCAAGCAUGCAGCAGAGGUGUAGCAAGGCAAGCACAAGCAGCAGAGCAGAGGGAAGGGAAGGCUGGGAGAUGAAUAGGCGAAUAGUUACCUGGACAGAGCAGAGGGAAUGGAGAUGAUGCAGAUGCUUCCGGAGACUCGAGAUUUGGAGAGGAACAAGGCCACGUUGUGAACAAGGUCUCCUUUCUCUUCUCUAUUUCCCGCGCAAGUACUUGUGCAUAGUGGCUGCCUCAUCCUCCAGGACGUCCACUUCAACCUGAGGCGGGUGCCACAGACAUCCUGGCUAUGCGACGGCUACCCCCAGCACACCCCCGGCGCCUAUGAACCAUGAUCCUAAUACUAUAAAUUGUCAACCUUGUAAUCUUAUUUCAAGCAUGCUCUCUAUGUCAACCUGUAAGGUUAACUUCGUUUUUCCUUUUCUGGGUAGGGGAGUGGAUAUUGCUGUUAUUUAUAUUAUGUUGAUAUUGGUUUCCACAUGUCAUUCACCCCAAAUGUGUUGCAAGGUUGAACCUAUCAUCGGAGGAAUUUUUUUCCCUUUACCUUUAUAUCACUACGCUCUGGUUAUGUAUGAAACACUUGUCUUCUUAAAAACCUUAAUUUAGAAACAAAUUUGAAACACUAUCUUCAUUUACAUCCUGUAUGUGUUUUCUACCUUUUGUCCUAUAUGAUCUGCUUUGAUUUGAUUUGUGCAUAGUUUUUUCAAUUCAGACCUGGUGAUUUCUGAGGUUCAUGUUGUGCUGAUAAGCAGCCUACUAUUCAGUAACACUUUCAUGUGGCAUGUUCAUGUUAGCUAGCUAGAAACACUGCUUUUAGCUUCAAAAUUCAAAUUCAUGACAUGAUGGACAUUGACAAUGAAUUUCUUGAUUGCCGAGCUAUGUACACUGUAAUUCAGACCUGGUGCUUUUAGUUUUUUUCUUGAUUGCCGAGCUAGAAACACUGUGCUUUUAGUUUUUUCAAUUCAGACCUGGUGAUUUCGGUUUUUUCAAUUCAGACCUGGUGAUUUCUGAGGUUCACGUGUCACACCGAUUUUAAGAACAAAAUCGAGUGCAUUAAAUAUACAUGUACGCUAGGAUCAGGUUACACACAUGUACGACAUAAGCGAAUAUCAAAGACAAUGCCAUAACGAAAUAAAGAGAGUAUUAAUCAUUAUUACAUGACCGAAAGUCUCAAAUAAACCACAAAAUCUAUUUAUUACAUAGCGGAACUUCUAAGAUAGCAACGUCUCCACAGGCAGCUGACUGAAGAACUGUAUGCCUAGAACUCUUCAAAAUCGUGCAGGUACUCCUCCAGAUUAGCUUGGUAUGAACAACGGUUUUGCAAGGGUGAGUACACUUAUGGUUGGUACUUAAUAAGUCGUGGGAAACAAUGUAGUGUAAGGCAAAUCAAGGUAUGGCUAAGGCUUAAACAGCAUCAGCUUUUAAUUUAGUUGGUCAAAUUUUAUUAGCAAUUAAUUAGACGUAAAUUUAUACCACCCGAAAUUAAACAAGAACAUGAAUAAAAUAAUAACAUAACCAUAAAUGAAAUGACAACAAUUUAAAUCCAUCUUUUCAUAGCAUUAUCAUGUGAGGGUCCAGUCCGUUCUUAACCGUGAGCACCGCUGAUCGAUCAGUUUUACACUCUGCAGAGGUUGUACAUCUUUACCCACAAGUCGCGUAAAAGUUCAAAAGAAUUUUGGACCCAACCAUGCGGUAUUUGCAAGGCACCAUACCACACUUCCAAGGUGUGAUUGCAUAUGAACGCUACGAGGCCUUUACAAAGAUUCAUUAGUAAGUGGUAACCCGCUAAGGUUUCGGUAUUUGGCGUGCACAACCUAUCACAGGCCGCUAAUGCAACGACUCAGUCCCCCCUCUUGCCUCAUCACGAGUAAGAUUACCCCAGACUAAGGUUUCUAAUUAUUCAGCCAAGAUCAGAACCAUUUAGUCUUGUGGUAGCACUGUUUUCCUGGGUGGUUCUCCAUGUUCCGAUUAAACAUAAUGGUCUUGUAUUAAUGGAAGGUAUAACAUAAAUAAUACCAAAUUAAUAAUAAUUCAGAUUAAAUCACCAUAACCAUAUUUGAGCACUAAGCAUGAGCUACCCAACAUAAAUUUAACCCGGUUGGUCAAGGCAAGGUAGAUAAAGUCUAGGAAAUUCUUAAUUGGGACCCAUCAAGUUUAAAUUAUACUUUGCAUGGUAUGUUGCAUAGAACAUGAAAGUAAAUGUGAAUAGGACUGAAAAGGAGUGAUUAGGGACACGACUUGCCUUUUUAACCUUGUUCUUGCUGUUCGUACUCUUCGAAAACUUUGAUCUUCAAAUCCCUUGAACUGCUGACCGUCUACACGCGUCACACGACCACAUACAAGCAAACAAAUAUAAUACAUAAGAAAACAGUACACCAAUCAUAAUUAAAUAGAAGAAACAAAUUUGAAAAGCUAUUCUACGCAUUAAAACGAAAACACGGAUACAAGGAACGUUAAAAACGGAGCUACAGUGCAAAAACUACGCUUAAAACAAGAUGCAGGGGUAUAACUACGAGAAACCAAACUUCCAGGGAUUUAAUUUUAAAUAAUUUUGAACUGCAGAAGGGGCAGCAGGGCAAAACGUAGAAAAUGCAGGGGCUUAAGCGCAAAAGCAUGGCUGCUGACUCAGCUGACUUGAUGUGGAUCGUCGGAUGGCGAUCCGGCGGCCGGCAGCUGCUGCGCUGACGUCAGCGACGGCGAGCGCCGGCGAAAAACGGCAGUUCGCCGGAAUCGCCCGGGAACGCGCGACUGGGUGCAGAUUUGAGCGAGGAUUAGACUAGCAGAUAGAAACGAGCGCAGUGAACUCAUUUGGGAUGCCUACGGCGAGGACUUGGCGACGGCAUCGGCUCCGGCGAGAACUUGCGGCAGGGAAACCAAAUAAAAUAAAAUAACACGGUUCAGAGAAGCGGCGCUGGAGGAACGCGAGCGAUUUUGCGUGCGAGCGGAAGAAAACACUGCGAGGAAGAUGACUGCGGGCCCUGCUUGUCUGCGGCAGGAGGAGAGCUGCGUGCGAGAAGAACCUGGCCACGAUCUGGGCCGUUGCCUUCGAUCUGGGCCGAGGCAAGCUAGCUGGCCCGCUGCUGCGGAAAGGUGCUGGGCCACGGGCGGAGCACAGCGUCGGGCCAGAAAGGAGAUGGCUGCUGCGAGGAAACAAAAGAAAAUGAACUGGGCUGCGACAGAGGAAAACUGGGCGUCGGCCAGAAAGAAGCUGCGUGCAGCUUGCUCUUGUUUCCGAACUAGAAACAGGAACUGACGGAAAGACAGAAAUCAAUUGGAGACUGAAACUGACGCCCCAGACUCUGAACUUCGAAAAAACAGGACAACCAGCCAACUGACAGAAAAAAAAAAGCUUAACAACCCAAAAGCAGUACACAACCACGAAACCAGGCCACAAGACUGAAAAAGCUUGAUAGGAACAUCUGGCGACUGAACCAAAAAACUACAGAACUGCAACUGAAGAACUAGAGAACAGAUAAAUAACUGAUUGAACUCUGAAACUGAAACACCAAAGAGCAGGAAGCUGACUGACGGAAAAUGCAAAACAGCAACCCAAGGUGAAACACAAAUUCUUCUUCAAGCAUUCAAACAAAGAGAUAUGCAACAGCAUGAAUGCUCAAUAAAAUCCUAUAUUUCAUUAAUUAAUUAGAAAAAAUGCUCAAAUGCCUAGAAAAAUGCAAAAGUGACCUUAUAUGCCUUAAACAAGCAAAUUCGUUUCUAGCGAUUUUUGGUAAAAUGCAAAAUUAGAGAUUUUGGGUGUUACAUCAUGUUGUGCUGAUAAGCAGCCUACUAUUCAGUAACACUUUCAUGUGGCAUGUUCAUGUUAGCUAGCUAGAAACACUGUGCUUUUAGCUUCAAAAUUAAAUUCAUGACAUGAUGGACAUUGACAAUGAAUUUCUUGAUUGCCGAGCUAUGUACACUGUAAUCACAUUGUGGGGCUGAUAAAAUAAGCAGCGUUGAGACACAUAACAAUUGAAUCUUAAGCUUCACACAGAAUCUGGACCAGUCAUCCUCAUUCCUGUCAUGCUGGAAAUGUCUUUGAUACAUUUCAAUCACAGGCAAUUGAAUUCGUACUGGGGAGGAUGGCAAUGGUGCAUGAAGAGAGAUCAAUGUGGCAAAUCUCACAUUGUUCAUUACCAGGUAUCUCCGAUUUCUGGUUAUUUUAAAUUUACCUUGACAUGUGACUUAUUGAGGUAUUGUAUUUCAUCUAAUGGUAGUUCUGAAUUUAUGGUAACCUUGGAUGGGGUUUGUCACUUUAUACACGCACGGACUUACAAAGGACAGCAAAUGAGUAUAUUUAGAGGGCUCCUGUCCAACCAUGGACUAUACUUAUGUACCCUUUUUUGACAUGGUAAUUUGAGGUUAAUGGAAAAGUAGCGAUAGUCGCCUCCAGCGAAGCUACCUUCUUCGAAAGCUCCGAGGCUGCUUUCUCGCUCUUAGCAAGCCGAUCCCUCGUAAUCAUCGAAGAGUAAGAGACCUACAGAUUUUAAAAACCAAGUUACCAAAAAUAACGAAGUAAAAGACAACACUCGCAAGACAAACCACCAAACUAUCUCAUAAUUGUACCUUCUUUACGAGGUUCGCCUCCAAGUUAAAGAGCUCUUCCAAGAUCAUUGACUUCACAGCUUGCUGAAAAUCUAUGCGCCAAAGGAUAUAGUCGUAAGCAUAAAAUAAAAAUUGGUAAAAACCAAGGACAGCAAAGCCAUCUACAAGCUGUUCUUACCCUCAUACUUUCGCACCUCAACGGCGAUCGGAACAACCUUCUCUCUAGCCUCGCCCUUAGACGCCACCACAAUCUUCCCGCCACACAAAUCCACAACCCCUCCUUUACCUUUGCCCUCUCCCGAAGUCGUCGUGCCCGCCUUCUCCACCCUUUUUGAACCGCCAACAUCUGCAUAGCGCUCGCAACCUUCACCUUCAGCCCCCCAGACCAAAGACAGGUUGUGAGGAUUAUAAACCCUACCUUCGGCGCAUGUAGCUAGAAUCUCCGUGCGCCCGCUCAAGCCCAGACACUCAUUCAGUCCCUGAAGCCCCGCCGGCAACCUCUCACCUACAUCAUAACAUUCAACUUUUAGCCUCACAUGAUCCUCACAACUAACCUUACCAACGCCCCCCAUAGUUUCUUCCAAGUCCUUCAAAAAUUUCGUUGAGGCCUCACCACAAUCAAAGAACCGUAGCAUCGAUAGAAACACCUCUACAUGCUUACCAGAUCUCACAGCUUCGGCACACCCACCCUUUGGAUCAGAUGAGAACGCAUCCACAAGCUUCGCCUUUUCGGUGGCAAACCCCCUCUCAAGUUUCCCAACAUCAGUCAAGAGAUGUUGCGCGCUCUUAAACUUCGAGCUUAUGGAAGGCACCGUGAUCUUGGUACCAGCUGCCGAAGACGCGUCAACCUUGGCACCCGUAACAGUAACAGGAGCAAAUCGAGGUUUCUUGGCGCCUCUUUUGAUCCGUGCGGCGGGCCCGGUGGAUGAAGGUGCAAGAGCUGGAACCUCCUUAGGAGGGCGCAUAGAGACAGGAACAACAUAUGCCGGAUUGCUCAAGUCGCCAGACGAAGCUGUCGACCACGAUGGCAACAUAGCAGACGAAGCCCCCGCGGUCAUUUCCUUCCUUUUUUGCGCCUCCAAAUUCAAGGUCUUUUGCUUCGCCUUAGCGGUCACUUGCAAUUCAAUAGUGAGCUUCACCAUGGGUACGAAGUCAAAUUUUGCCUUUUUCCUCUGCUCAAGACUAGCACCGCGACGGCGCCUCUUGCCCGUAACUUUGGGGUGAGGCAGAACCACAAUAUCAUACAAGUCAAAAAUCUAAGAUGAUGACAUUCCAUUUGUAUCCAUGAUUUAUAUUGUGUUCCUUGAAUAUCCAUUAAAGUCUACUUGAAUUGAUUUGCAAUUAUGUGAAUUGUAUGUGAAACUCUUUCCUUGUAUGGUUAUUCUAAAGUUGUCCCUAGUCGGAGUUCAUGUGAGGACACAUGAAUAUUAGACUAGCACAUGUAUUAGUUGAUGACUAUGUUUCACAAGUCAUGGACAUGAAGAUGUGGAACUAAUAAUGUGGGCACAUGUGGAGACACGUGCUAGGACUGACCCAACACGAGAAGUAGUUCUCUCUUUAUACAACAUAUACGCUUUGUCCUUAGACCUGAGAUUGUCGCAUGUACUCAAGAUGUGGAUCGACUUACUUAGGGGCUAUCAAAUUCUACGCCGUAACAGGGUAGUUAUAAAGGUAGCUUUCGGGUUUGUCAAGAAGCAUGCUAUGAGACAUGGUCAAUCAAGAUGGGAUUUGCCCCUCUCUGAUUGAGAGUGAUAUCUCUGGGCCCCUCGAGUGAUCGGAUCCGAAAAUGCAUGGCCAUGCUACAUACGAUUAAGAGUUAGCCUACAAAAGGAUUCCGAAUCAUAGGAUCGAGAAAGAGCGGUCGGCUUGAAGCUAGACCAAAUAUCGUGAGGCAAAGGGAAUAGCAUGUAUAUAAUGUUGUGAUGGUUCGUCUGAUAUGAUCUUCGUGUGCGUAUAGGAGUUGGCACGUCUUGCUAGAGGUCGCUACCGACUAUUGGGCCGAGUAGGAGUACUCAGGCCAUGUCUAUACGUAUCCGAACCCAUAGGGUCACACACUUAAGGGGCUGGAAGCCCAAUUCGGAUGUGAUCCGAAUUGGAUUAGGUUUAGAAGUACUAAUGGGCCUUGGACCUAGAGGCCCGUUAGGAACCUCUAUAAAUAGAGGGGUGGGGGCGCCCUAGGGUUUACACCUUUUUGGUGAAACACAUCUGCCGCGCCUCCCACGCCUUCGCCUGUUGCAACUCGCGGACCUAGCAGUCCGGCUUGCGACGCUUCCUCCCUGCACGUGUGGAUACCUUGGAAGUGUUGCUCCUGCAGCACUUGGACGAGCCGCCAACGAGCCACGACGAGCCACGAUGAGCCGACGAUGAGCCGCGGCACGAGGGGGAUCUUGCUGCACGUGGACGAGCUGCUGAGGAGCUGCUGGACGUCGAUGUGUUCGACUACGUACGACUACGCUGAUCGACUUCGCUGCAUCAACGCGAAUCUACAUCUUCCGCAUCAUUGCAUCGAGUGGUAAUCCCGUGAUCCUGAUACGGCAGUUUUCCUAGUUUACGCGGUAGAAAAUUUUGUUUUGUGCUAGUGUAGCCUAACUCAUAUCCCAACAACGUGUGCUAUAGGUCACGCAAGCCUGAAAAUGGCCACACCGGACACCGGGUACGAAAACAUGGGGGAUGGACCGAACAUUUGAAAAUGGCCUCCAUAUGUGUUUUCGGCUAUGAAAAUGUGUGUUAUAGGUCACAGAAGCUUGAAAACGGCCGCACCAGCCACUAGGGACGAAAACGUGGGGGAUGGACCAAAGACAUAAAAAAUAGCCUCCAGACGCGUGUUCGGCCAUGAAAACGUGUGGUAUAGGUCCUGGAAGGCCAAAAACAGCUACACCGGCCACCUGGGACGAAAAAGUUUGUGUAAGACCGAACACUUGAAAAUAGCCUCUGGACGCGUGUUCGGCUAUGAAAAGGUGUGUUAUAGGUCACACGAGCCCCAAAACAACCACAGCGAACACCAGCUACAAAAACAUGGGGGAUGGAUCGAAUAAUUGAAAAUGGCCUCCAGACGUUUGUUCGGCCAUGAAAUCGUGCGUUAUAGGUCGCGGGAGCCCGAAAACGGCCACACCGGCCACCGGGAAUGAAAAUGUGGGGGAUGGACCGAACAAUUAAAAAUGGCCUCCGGAUGUGUGUUCGGCCAUGAAAACGUAUGUUAUAGGUCACGGGAGCAUGAAAACGGCCGCACUGGCCACUGGGGACGAAACGUGGGGGAUGGACCGAAGACGUGAAAAUAGCCUCCAGACGCAUGUUCGGCCAUGAAAAUGUGUGCUAUAGGUCAUGCAAGGCCAAAAACAGCUGCACCAGCAACCGGGGACGAAACCAUGGCUGUCAAACCGAACGCUUGAAAAUCGCCUUCGGACGCGUGUUCGGAUAUGAAAACAUGUGUUGUAGGUCACGCGUGCCCGAAAACGUCCACAACGGACACCGGGUACAAAAACGUGGGGGAUGGAUCGAAUAACUGAAAAUGACCUCCGAACGCGUGUUCGGCCAUGAAAACGUGUGUUAUAGGUUGCGGGAGCCCAAAAAUGGCCACACCGGCCACCGAGGAUCAAAACGUGGGGGAUUGACCGAACAAUUAAAAAUGGCCUCCGAUUGUAUGUUCGGCCAUGAAAACGUGUGUUAUAGGUCAUGGGGGCCCAAAAAUGGCCGCACCAGCCACCAAGGACGAAAAUAUGGGAGAUGGACCAAAGACAUGAAAAUGGCCUCCAGAUGCAUGUUUGGACAAAAGUGUGUGCUAUAUGUCGUGCAAGGCCAAAAACAGCUACACCAGCCACCGGGACAAAAACGUGGGUGUUUGACUAAACAAGUGAAAAUGGCCUCCGGAAGCAUGUACGGCUAUGAAAAUGUGUGCUAUAGGUAAUGGAAGGCUAACAAAAGCUACACCGGCCACCGGGGACAAAAUCAUGGGUGUCAGACUGAACACUUCAAAAUGGCCUCCGGACGCGUGUCCGGCUAUCAAAACGUGUGUUAUAGGUCAUGCGAGCCCGAAAACAACCACACUGAACACCGGGUACAGAAACAUGGGGGAUGGACUGAAUAACUGAAAAUGGCCUCUAGACGCGUGUUCGGUCAUGAAAACAUGUGUUGUAGGAUGCGGGAGCCCGAAAACGGCCACACCGGCCACCAGGGCAUGGACCAAACAAUUGAAAAUGGCCUCCGGAUGUGUGUUCGGCCAUGAAAACGUGUGUUAUAGGUCACGGGAGCCCAAAAAUAGCCGCACCGACCACUGGGGAUGAAAUCGUGGGGGAUGGACCGAAGAUGUGAAAAUGGCCUCCAGAUGCGUGUUCGGCCAUGAAAACGUGCGCUAUAAGUCAUGUAAGGCUAAAAAUUGCUACACCGGGACUAAAGCAUCCCCCAUGAGUUACAAUAAAAGGAUUGUAUCCUCUACUCAGUCGGAUGUACUGUGUAGGUGAGAUGGUAAGGAAGCUAUGCGCGAGGUUUGAGGUUGUGGGUUGAAAUCCUACGCACCGCGCGCACACGCGCAUAUUUUGUGUGAAAAAUCAUGUGACUUGUGAUCGGCCAAGGAGAAGUGGGUGCAGCUGUGGCUUAAGUGGCUGAGGCACGCUGCCAUAGACAUCUCCGAUUUGCUCGAAGACUACCAAGACACUAGCAAUAACAAGAACUACUGCUCUUCCUAGCAGACUCUUUACAACCACUUUAAAGCUGUGCAUUUCUCAAUGUAAUUUCGUAGAAGGCAAUCGAUCCAACCAAGCGACUAAAUCAUUUGUUCUUGCCAAUGAUGUACAUCAGGUUUUCUAUAUGAAGGACAUGUCUAGCAAACCUAAGAUUUUAGAAGAAAAAGAAAAAUUAUGGGAGUCAAUAAUAAAUCAGGCCAAUCAGGAGAUUAUAGUAAGCUCGAUGGUAUGCCUCCAUUCGAUGUCGAAGUUGGCCCAAGCAUCAUGUUAGCCAAAGAUCAAAUGUUCGUGCAUUGCUACGGUAAAGAUCAAUUGUGUCUUUUAAACCCAUGGAAUUUUUUAUCUAUGUUUUUAUUACACUUAAUGGAUGUCUACACAUUUGCUAGAAAAUCAAAAUAAUUUUGACUUAAUUAUUUCUUUCAACUCAAAUACUCAUUAAAUUUCUACCUUUUUAUUUAAGCAAGAGAGUUGCUCAAAAAAUGGAUACGUAACCAUGUUGUAUCAUACAAAGCAACCACAUUUCACAUAUAGUCUGGCUUAGCAAACACCAUUGUUGUCUUAACAUAGUGUUCAUGAGUUAGUAGACAUGGAUCUAUUUCUAAUUGCAAGUAGUGCAGCGUACAACCAGCCUGCACCGCCGCAGCUCAAUAUGCGAUAAUUUUUUAUCUUCCCAUGUAAUUUUUCUACUCUAGUACAUAUUGAACUCCACAUAAAUGUCAUGUUCUUUCACGCCACAGACGGUUUCUAAAGUUUGGAACUAAAUAGAUAGCCAAAAAUUUUAAAAAAAUAUUUAUAUGGAUACAUGUAUGUUCUUUGCAAACUAACAAUAUUGUUUACAAUAUCAAAAGGAAUAUGGCUAUGAUCAUUGCCGCAUAUGGCAGGUGAUGGUAGAUGCCGUAUGGGGUUUCUUUAACUUAAUUGUAUAAUAAGCUGAAAUACAUUUUCUAUUUGCAAAUGAAUCAUAGCUGAAAGUGGUGGGAUUGUAGAACCGCCGGCCAUCGUGUCCUUGUAGGACCGCUGCACGAGCCUGUGAGCCACCAGCCACCAUGCGCCCAAGGGCCAUCACCACGCCAUAAGAGGAUGCUGUCUACCCGGUUUCGCGCGCCUGUGCUAGCUGCCUGAACCUGGGCCGCCGCCGGUCGCCUGCCCAGCCGCGCGUUGCGCCAGGGUUUUGCUGGUGACGACCAUGGCCUUCGCGAUCAAAUUAAAAAGUUAUCAACUGCAAAGUAUUAGGUCUCGUUGAGCUCUACAAUUUUGAUAUAAAGUUUCUAUUCAUCCGAGAUCAAAUAAAAAAUUUGAUACUCAAAGCAUAAAUCCAUUAAUCUAGUCUUGCUAAUCCUUACCACCAAAUAAAAAACUAGCAUGUGUUGUGUGUUUGUGACCCUAAACGAUCACAAAUGAAUAACUUAUGGGCCUUGCUAGCGCCCGGAUGUCCAGGCCGGGGCACUAGCAUCAGACCCACGAGUAGCCGUCCGAUCAGGUUCGACACCACUUCAGGAUCUGGCUUAAAAAGAAGUCCCACCGAAACAUUGUUCCAUGUUGCAUGAAGCAACCCACUACCGUCGCCAGGUCUAGAGCAAGCACCACCUUCAAAUGUGCUGCUCACCCUAGCUAAAUAGGGGCAUUAAAAUAUUUCUCGCAUAUCCUUCUCAAAUUAAACAAAAUCGCAACAUCUGAAAAUUUUUACAGAAAACCAUGAAACAUAUCGAUUAGAUAGAUGUAACAAGAUGGAAUAUGGUAUAUGCAACAUAUAGGUUCCGAAAAGCAGAUGAAAUAUUAUGUAAUGAUUCUUGAAACAGUCAAGAAAAAUAGAUGUAACAUCUAAAAUUAAGAAAAGAAGCUUUAUGCAAAUUGCAAAAAGCUGAAACAAGUGGUUGAAACAUUUCAAAUCACCAAAUGCCACAUUUGAAAUGACCAGAUGAAACAUCACGAAAUCAAUUGCAACAGUUGAAGAUGAAAACAUUCAAAUGCCUUGCCUUUCUCCAAAUUUGACCCUCCAAGCAUGAGUCCAGCCAUUUGCACAUUAGACCCUUGGGAGGAGCUCACCGGAGAACAACAAGACCGUGUUAUCCAACAAUUUUCAGAUCAAAUUGCAACAUAAAGAACAAAGCAUUGCAACAUCUGGCAUCACGAGCUACAACAGCAACCAGUUAGGAUCAGGAGAAAGAGGGCAAACACAAGCCUAACAAUGAGUUAUAUCCGGUUUAAACAAGGAUAAAAAUGAGUGUAUUUUACACUCAUCAUGUUGUCUUUUCGCAGCUGUACCGCCUUUAGCGUGUUGUAUUGUUCCUAACACCAAGUCUCCGAGGCCCGAAAAAAUAAGGAAAGUGGUAGCAGCUCAGAAAUCGACUAAGUUUCUUUCCCCCUUUGGCUUUCCUACUAGGAUUCGGAAUCCUCUUUCGUAUGACAAUCUUAAUGAUCUCCCAUAGUCCAAAACUCACAAAAACAUCAAAAAUCCACCGAGAAUAAAUUAAGUAAAAAAACAUGCACACACAGAUAAUAAUAGUAAUCAUGUUUCAUUAUGAUUGCUAAGGUCAGACACAAUACAUAAACAUAUUAGACUGAGUGACCCACCUCACCUCAGAGUAUGCACCAUGUCUGAGUGACCCACCUCACCUUGCCAGGACACUGGUCCUGCCCUCGUGGUUCACGCGCCCUCGUGGUUCAGCAGUGGUCAGUACACAAAUCUAGCUGCCAGUCGGAUCCAAGGGCAGGCAUUUGCAUUGUGGUUGUGUUUGAACAUGGAGAUGUCAUUAUUAUUGUCAGGCACCAUACAUCCUCUCUCAGUUUCACUCCGCCUCACACACGGAUAGCACACCAGGGACCCGACACCAUGCAUGCCGAUUUCAUAUUAUUAAUAUUUAAUUUUUUUAAUGGUUGUUGAAACUAUAUUGUUGAUAUUUUUAUACAUAAUUUACGACCUAAUUUGGAUAUAUUUUUGAAAUAUUCCGAAAUCUUAAAUUCACACGUCUAGAGAUACAGUUAGUCCAAUCUGAUGUUUCCGAUUAUAAAAAUGAACAUAAAGAGAUAGGAAGCGAGAGACGUGAGGGGGAAAGUUAAAUUAGGGCCUAAGGGGUGAAGUUAGGGUUCCAGGUGAGCUGUCAUCACUACGUGUUUUUAAUCGAAAUUGGAAUGUCAGCAAUCGUCAGAUCUUGAGCCAACAGUUGAGACUGCCUCGGAAUGGUAAUUAGGUCUGCGCGAGCUUGCAUUGUGGCCUUCCUUGAAACCUUGGACAUAGGUGUUAUAUUAUUAUGUUCUUGCCAGCACACAGCAGUGAAGGACGACACAGUUGAGAUGUGCAUCACAUUUUCUAUAUGAAGGAUAUGUUUAGCAAACCUAAGAUUUUAGAAUAAAAAGAAAAAUCAUGGGAGCCAAAGCGCCACAUAGUUCUUCCAGGUAAAAAAAAAUCAUCCACUGGACCAGCACAUAGUAACGAUCCAAAAAGUCCAUAUUAAGAUUUUUUGAUAGCAGAAAAAACAUAAAAUGUCUAAUAUUUGUAGUAUUAAAAGGAAAAAUAAUAUAUUCACGUGACCUUUUUCCCGUAGCAAGGCACCGGUACGUGGUCAGACUUAAUGCACGAUGCCUAAGCAUCCAUUGGGCCUACCCUCGUGUGGAUCACGCGCAACAGGACACGGCUCACAAGCUAUGAUGUGCAGCAGUCGCUCAGAUGGCUGAAAGGUACCCUUAAUUUGAAUGGUACCAUAUAUAUAUAUAUAUAUAUAUAUAUAGUAAACAAGACAAACCACCGUUGAUACUACUUUGCACUACUUGAUACAUAUAUCUCCACCAAAAGCGAGGCACGUGGGGAGGAGAGAUAUGUGGUUGAUGGUGCGGGCACGUGGCGAGUGCACCGUACGAAAAUUUUGCUCGUGUCGGACGACUGAUGUGAAGCAUUACCCAAUCUUAAUUAUCUCCCAUAAUCCAAAACUCACAAAAACAUCAAAAAUCCGCCGAGAAUAAAUUAAGUAAACCAUGCACACACAGAUAAUAAAAUUGCUAAUAAGGCCAGAGACAAUACAUAAACAUAUUAGACUGUUCAUGACACAUAUCACGGUGGAUAGUGUCUGUGUCCUUAUUACAAGCAAUGAGAGAUGCUUGUCACCACACACACGCGCACAGAUGCACAACAUACAUAUAGUUGAGACCAACAGAUGGAUCAACUAGAGGUCACCCCAUAUGGUGAACAAUUUAUUGGAGAUAAACAUUAACAUAACUUGGCCAUAGCUUGAAGCAUAGCAACAUAUGCCUAUGAACGGCGUUCAUGCUAUCAUUUUAGGCUUGUCCGCUUCUUCCAUCUUAGCAAGCACUUCCAUUUCUACCAUCUUAGAAGCAACUGUCAAAUUGAGAUAUGGAAAUCCCAUUAGCGCAUGAGUUAAUUUUGCAGUGAAAAUAGAGUACAAGAUAUCUUCAUGAUGUAAGUAACAUGCCUGAAGUUGUGAGAUGGGAAGUGAAGUCAACAAAUUACAUUAACGGAAAUGCAUGGAAGGCCACACAUACGUAUUAGUCCAUGAUAUGCUACAAAGCUUGUAUGUACAUAUAGCAAAUUAAAUGCAUUAAUUGAAUAGAGUGAGUUUAGUGAAUUUACCAGAAUCGUCCAGAAAACAUGGGAAACAGCAAGUGUUCUUGCAGACUGCGUCGGUGCCACCCACAGCAAUACAACCAAAACAACAUGCUUUUGCCCGAGCGGCUGCGCAGCAGCCGCACUCUGCCGCGGUGGCCGAGUUAGCAUUGAGGCUCAAGAUGACCAGGCACAUGAUCACCAUCAAAGCGGUGGUAGUCCUCUUUCCCUCCAUUGCCUCCUCUUGCUGCUACCUUCCUUGGUUACCUAGCUAAGUUUAUUGGUUUUGUGUUGAGAGGUGAUUCUUGCAUUGAAUGGACGUUGCCGCGGCUGCAAUUUAUAGGCAGCUGCGCUAUGUGAUGAUAUGGACAAGGUGCAAAUGGGUGGUCCUGAUAUGGAUAAGGUGCAUGCGAAUGGCUGUCUACUUGUAUAGUGGCGCUCCAAUGUACAUACGUAUGUAUCUUAUGCAUGUAUACAGUUGAUGGAUGUACAUGUUUGUUGCACAAAUUAUUCUGAACCAACUCUUCAUAACAGGUCUUUGUUACCAAGUAAUUUUACUUUUGCACGUUUCAGCCGAGAGGCAGAAGAGAAUAUUUUACAGAGAGGGCAGAGAAGGAGGUUGGCGGAGGCGCCGUGGUAGGGUUCCCCGUGUCGCCAAGAUUUUUGCAUUUUAGAUGUGUGUAUUGAUCACUUCGUCGUGCUCGCGGGGCCCAACUCCAGGUUGUACCCCAGCAGACCACGUUCUGUUUCUCUGCCUCCAAUGAGCAUGCAUGCCUCCACAAGGACCACAAGACUUAGUAAAAAAGCUAAACUUUGCAACACGAUGUAUACAGAACGUUUUGAAAUGUACUCUCGUUAGGCAUUCACCUCCUUAACAAUCACUGCGACUGUAAAAGAGGUACAUCGACGCUAGCUAAAUAAACCACUAUAAGAUUUAGCAAGAGAUCAUUUUAUACAAUCCUGUAACGAAACAAUUUGACAAUUAUAGUGUCCAUAUAUUUUGACAAAAAAACGUUUAAAUUAUAUAAGGAGGUGGGCCCGAAAACGGUUGGAUUACAUCGAGAACGUUUUGAAACAGUUGGCGGAGCAGGAUUCUGGCGUGGAGCAUCUACAUUGUCGCGCGCGCGGACUGCCGGAGUAGGCACGCUCGACUUGUCCCAUCGCCAGCUAAAUGAUUUAGUACCGGAUGGUCUCUAGUACCGGUUGGAGCUACCGUCCACCAGGAGCUUUUCUAGUUUGGAACUGGUACUAAUGCUAAUAUUAGUAUCAGGUCAAAAACAAUCGGUACUAAGGCUAGGGAUGACACGUCAUUUUUCUAGUAGUGUGUGCAAUUGGUUUUGUAAUUAGUCUAUAUUUAAUACUUCUAAUUAGUAUCUACACAUUUUAUGUGACAGGGACUGAACUUUAGUCCGUGGAACCAAACACCCCAUAAGUAUGUUUGGUGCUGUAAGGAUUUCGGUUUUAUUUAAUUUCCUAGGCAUUUAAAUUUCUUUCUAAAAUAAGUUAAUGAAUCAUAGGAUCUCAUUGUUGUAUUCAAGCUGGUGCAUUGAUUUUGCCUAUAAAACCCGCCGCGGUCUUCGCAGCCCCCAUCAAACCCUAGCGCCCUUGCCACAAGCUCAGCACCGCUGCCGCCCGAGCUCGAGCACUAGCACCCACCCAUCGCCGUUGCCUUCCCGUCGAUGGGAUCACCGCCCGGAGCUUCGCAUCGUGGUAAGGAAGCCGCCCGUGAAGAUCCCAUGUGCUCCUAUGCCCUCUACCGCGUCCCCGAGUUCCCGGAGUUGCUAGUCUCCCACCGAGCCGACUCUCCGAGCUUCACGUCACUGGUGCCGCUCCGAAGACCUAGUUCGGUUCGCCAUGCACCUCGCUUCAUCCUGAGCUAAACCCCAUAAUGAAUGGUGGUCGGAUGCUCGCCGCCACGGCGCGUCGUCUUUUCUGUCGCCCGUGCAUUGCCUAUCCCCUUCCAGCCGAUUGCAGCUGUCCGAUCGCAAACCGGUGGCCCUGAUCGGAUACCAAGGUCAAUACCGGUCGAACCGAGCCGUGCGCUGCUUUUGCAAGAAGGCCCCUGUUUUUCUCUCUUUUUGCACCUGAGGUCCUACGCAGUUCAAAAGUAAUAAGAUCUAGGUCCUUUUUCUUUUGUUUUAGCCCGUGUUCUUUUAUAAAAUCCCGCCCACUAUUCUGUUUGGUCUUUUGACGCGUUAGACCUUCUUUUUAUAUGUUUAAUUAGGUUUUAGGUCUCGAUUUCUUUAAGUUUAGCCCUUGAAAGUUUAGUUCUCUCGCAGUUAAGCCCCUGAACCUUGUUUAGCUCAUAUCUUAAGCGUUUUAAAUCCGUUUUAACAGAUUCUUGCGCCUAUAAGUUCAUGUUGACGCAUAGAUUAGUUGACUUAUACGAACCUUGCUGAUUCAGCUCCUUGAUUGUGCUUCAGAUCUCGCUAGGGAAGAAUAAUGGAUGGGCUUUGGUUGAGCUUGUAGAUCGACUUGCAGUUGCAGUGAAUGAGCAGAGGAUUGGCAGUGAAUAAGAUCAGGCCGCUGCCCUGCUUGGUAGGGAAAAUAUCUGCUUGCUACCAAGGCCUGUGACGCAUGGACCCCAUUGAGAGUGCAUUAUUGACAAGGACUUAAAGCCAAGGGCUCCACACCUGUCAUUGAUCAGCUGUCUGCUGGGCGCUGCAAGGAGGUAGUGCAUGUUUGACAUAAAGAAGCAGGUGGCCCAGGAUUUACGAAAAAUAAGGAUCUAUUUGAUACCCUUGCUUAUAUUUAGGGGCUAAAAGUUGCUUAUUUGAAGUUGCUUAUUUUUAAUCCUAGCUGUUUGAUUGCAUGGGCUAAAGAGCAUUGAAUGAGGUGGAUAUUGUCAUGUUUGCCUCUAAUGAUUGCUUCCCAUCACAUUUCUCCCCCCUCAUUCAACGAGGGAAGGAGGUGUAAAGUGCACCUUUUAGCCCCGAUAAGUAACCCUUGUGUUGUUUACGGGCUGAACAUAAGUAGCUAAAGUUUAGCUCCAAUAAACAAGAGUGUUUGGUAUUUUUGGGGUUAAAAGGGGCUAAACUUUAGCUGCUUAUGCAUAAGCAAGGCCAUCCAAAUAGGCCCUAAGUAUGUUUGGCGUUGUAAGUAGGUUUUAUUUAAUUUCCUAGGCAUUUAAAUUUCUUUCUAAAAUAAGUUAAUGAAUCAUAGGAGUUCAUUGUUGCAUUCACGCUGGUGCAUUGAUUUUGCCUACAAAACCUGCUGCCGUUUCCGCAGCUCCCAUCAAACCCUAGCACCCCCGCCACGAGCUCCAGCGCCGCUGCCGCCCGAGCUUGAGCACUAGCGCACACCCAUCGCCGUCGCCUUCCUAUCAAUGGGAUCACCGCCCGGAGCCCGUGUCAUGGUAAAGAAGCCGCCCGUGAAGAUCCCGUCCACUCUCGUGCCCUCUACCGCGUCCUCGAGUUCACCGGAGUUGCCAGUCUGCCACCCAGCCGCCUCUCCGAGCUUCAUGUUGUCGUUGCCACUCUAGCUGCCUCUCUGAAGACCUAGAUCGGUUUGCCGUGCACCCCGCUUCAUCCUGAGUUAAACCCCAUCAUGCCACGUCAUAGUAAGGAAGCUGCUCAUGAAGAUCCCGUGCGCUCCCGUGCCCUCUACCGCGUCCCCAAGUUCACUGGAGUUGCUAGUCCACCACCGAGCCGCCUCUCCGAGCUUCACUUCACAGUCGCUGCUCCAGCCACCACUCUGAAGACCUAGAUCAGUUCGCUGUGCACCCCACCUCAUCCUGAGCUAAACCCCAUGACGAACUGUGGUCGGAUGCUCAUUUUCGAGUGAAUUCCGGCGAGAUGGUCGCCCGCCGCCGCCAUCUCCAUCGCCCAUGCACCGCCUGUCCCCUUCCAGCCGAUGUCCGAUUGCAAACCGAUAGCCGAAAUCGGAUGUGGUCACCAGGAUUAAUACCAGUCAAACUAAGCCACGCGUGCCGCUUUUGCAAGAAGGCCCCUAUUUUUCCCUCUUUUUGCACUUGAGGUCCUAUGCAGUUCAAAAGUAAUUAGAUCAAGGUCCUUUUUCUUAUGUUUUAGCCCUAUUCUUUCAUAAAAUCCCGGCUGCCAUCCUGUUUGAAAUAGAUACGGUUAUAGAUAUGCAAACAUCUGCAUAUUUCCAACCGUAUCUCUUUCGAACGGGAGACGCCUAACUAGGUUACGUGACAUACGAACAUCAUACGGAUAGAGAGGGGUAGGAUGUCUCACCUUGCUAUCCUACAAAGUGACGACUCGAGGACAGUAAUGUAGCCUCUCCUUCAAAAAAAGAACAUACUACUAUCAAGUUAAAUUUUUGACAGCACCUCCCCUGCACGUGGAGGUUUCCAUAACCUGCAUCAAAUAAAACGGCACGAUGGCUGACAACCACAUCUACAGCACCAGAAUGGCACGAUGGCCGACUUCCACAUAAAGUUCUUAUACCUUAGAUUGCCAAGUCAAACAUCCUUUUCUAAUUUCUAAAACAAAAGCCCUCCCACCUCUCUAUCUUAUACUUUCCUAUUUACUAAUUGCUUUUGUAAUUUCUAAUUUCUAUUUCAUCCUACCACCUCUGUACCCUUUUCUCAUUUCUAAUUCCAAUUUUCUAACUUGAAGAGCAAAGAUUGAUUACUAGGAGGGGUGAGGGACGCCGGCCUAGAGAGGCGAGGGGACGUCCGGCGGCGGCGGGUGCGUCGGGGGUAGGAUGCCAGGGGCGGCUGCAGGGGCGCCGGGUUGGGGGCGGCCGGGAUCGAGGGCACCAGUAGCGGGGGCACCGGGCCGGGGGCGGCCGGCGGGGCGGGACGCCAGGGCCGGGGCGACGGGCGCCGGUGGCGAGGCCGCCCGGCCGGUGGUGGCCGGCGUGGCGCCUGGGCCGGGGGGGGGGGGCGGGCGGGGUGCGGCGCGGCGCGCCGGGGCAGGGCGCCGAGGCUGGGUGGUGGGGUACGGGGCGGCGGGCGGGGGGUGGGGGGAGGGUCGGCGGCGGGGCGCGGGGGCGGCCAGCGGCGACGGCGGAGGGCGUCGGUGGUGUUUCGGAAGUGAUACGGAGGGGGUAGAGAGAUUCGUUUUCGCGGCUGAGUGUUCGAGUCAGAAGGCCGUGCGGCUUAAGUCAGGUGGUUUGCCGAGUGCGCGCGAUCUGGCACUCGGCAAAGUCAGAAGUUUUGCCGAGUGUCAGAUCGCGGGCACUCGGCAACUGCAGCUUUUGUCGAGUGCCCUGGAUUCGGCACUCGGCAAAGUGAAGUUUUAAUUUUUUUUAAAAAAAUUUAAUCGGAACACGGGCGUGCCAGCGGGCCCGUGACAUACUUUGCCGAGUGUGUAGCAAAAACACUCGGCAAAAUAUUAUCUUUACCGAGUGUUUUCGCUAGGCACUCGGCAAAGUACACUUAUAUUUCAUGUACACUUUUUCAAUAACGUGUUUUACUAACCUUUUUCUGAUAUACUUGGGAAAAACCUUAUCAAAUUCACUCAACAAUGGAUAUAUGGUUUUUCUACUGACAUUAUUCCAUUAUUUCAUUCAGUUAUAGCUCAAAUUGAAUUUAUAUCUAUUAAAAAUCAAUAAUUGCAUUUAAUAAAUAAAAAAUACCAAACGGAUCUGAAAAAUUUCCAAAAUUUGACAUGAACCAAUCUAUGUUGUAUGUUGCCUGUACAAAAAGCUUUGAAGUCAAACCCCAAUUCAAGUGUCACUUGGACUCCAAAUCUUAUCGGAUCCUUUCUAACUUCUAUGAAUCCUUUCGGGAGAUGAGUCGGUUUGUAAGCAUCAUAUGUCAUAAAUUGGGCGAAACCUUCUCAAUUUUUUACCACAGCCUCCACAUAUAAUAUCAUGACACCUUGACAAAUCUUGUGAUUUUCAGACUUCGUUUGCUUUUUUUAGAAUUUAACAACCAUUCAACCACAUGUUCGUGAUCGUGUUUUCUAAAAAAAUGUUCAAAAUUUCUUUUCAUUUCCUGGUUGAGACCUCAAUCCGGAUUGAAUAAUAUGAAUAUGAUUUUUUCACUGAUUUUAAUCCAUUAUUUAAAUCACUUGCAGUUAAAUUUGACUUAAAUAAACAAAUUCCUAUUAAUGCUAUCAAUUCAUUAAAAAUAGCAAACAGAGAAAAAAUAGACCAACUUUUAAGAUGGAUUACCAAAUGUCAUAUGUGGGGAGUAGAAAAAGUGUGGAGAGCAGAGGUGGAAAAAAAAGUUUUGCCUUUGCCAAGUGCCUACACAAACACUCAACAAACUUUGCGGAGUGCCUAUUGAAAACACUCAGCGAACUUCUGAGUUUGCCGAGUGUCUGGAGGGAGCACUCGGCAACCUACUUAUUUGCCGAGUGUCCGCGUCGGACACUCAGCAAAGUACUAACGGCUGGCACACUCCCCUAACGGACGGCGCACGUGCAAGCCAUGUGCUGGAGAUUUAUCGAGUGUCAAAUCGUUGCCGAGUGUCGUGUGGAUGUUUGCCGAGUGUCUUAUUUGUGACACUCGGCAAAGCUAUUGUUUGCCGAGUGUAUUAUUUAUGCCGAGUGUCUUCCAGUAUACACUCGGCAAAUGAUGUCUUUGCCGAGUGCUCGACAUAAAGCACUCGGCAAAAAUUUUACACUCGGCAACAUUCCUGUUUCCGGUAGUGAGUGACCCGGGACUAAAGACCCCCGUUGUCUCUGAUUGCUUUAUUCCGGAUGGAUUUUCAGGAGAUUUGCUCCCUACCAAUAGGGACUAAAGGCAAGUUUUCCACUUAUAGCAAACCAGUUAGCCCAUUGUUGAUGGAACGCAUCACUAGAAACAGCUCGGGAUCCACUUGUCCAAUAAUCGAGAGGGCCUAUAUAUGGACCACGUGUGCGGAUCCCUAAUUAGGAAAAAAGAAUAAUGGAGUAGGACAUCUCCAUGCUCACCUAGUAGCCGCUGCUAGCUUGUGCGUGUGGAACACGAGUGCCGGCCCAGUUGGCGCUAAGACAUCGUACGUGCAUUAAGGCUACGAUCUCUUUCUUCUAACUCAUGCUUGUGCUAUUAUACAUUAUUGCAUGAUCAUCAAGAUAAGAUCGUAUAGUGACUGAGUGAGACAUGUAUGUACUAACAUGCAUUUAAGCCUCGAACUGUGUGUUGUUACGUGAGCUGCCUCCUCACCUCGCCUCUGAAUUAUUGAACCGUUUCCAACAGUGUUGGUCUCAAAUAAAUUUGACACCAAACAGAUUUAUGAAGAAGAGAGAAUAAUACUUGGAAUUGGAAAAAGUUUAUCUCUCUUUACAAUGGAGUAGGGCUCCCUUUUAUAGUGACCCAUAAGCCACUUUACAUUUGGAAAAUGUCCUUCCUCAACCACUACAUUAAUUCCUAGGAUAUGCUGUACAUAAAGGUCAUUUGAGGUAACGUGUACAAAUGAACUCUUCCACAUGGUCACGUUUCUCAUGCCUCCUGUUUUCCAACCUCGAGACAUCAUCUUCACGCCAAGUUGAUCAUCUAGCCUCGAGGCUCCAUCCACGAUCCAGAAUGAACGUCCAGGCUUGAGGCUCCUUCUUCGUUAAGCUUUGUUGAGAACUCAUAACCUCACAUAGUUCUCCUCCGAGUAUUGUUCCCGACUCAGAACACUCGAGGUUUAGCUCAGUUGGAGUUUAGCUAUUACUGUUGCUAGUCACCAGCCUCGAGCCCCUCCAGAAGCAAGGUGAUGCGAGGGUACGAGUUUUACUAUUAAAGGUGUUUCCAUAGAAUGUGCGAGGUUAAAGCACUUGCAGCAAAAGCGUGGAGCUGCUUUCAACCAGAGUGCAAUAAUGCAGCCGUGCCCAUCUUGGUCUUGGUCUCCGCCUGAACUAUAGCAGAUGCUGGCAGCGGUAGCAGGGUGGUCCAUUAUAUCUAUGGAUGGCAAUGGUCGGAUUCGGAUGGAAUCGAAUUCGAAUAGCACUUUUUACCACAUACUAAUUCAAAUCCGAAUUCGGAUUCGGAUGUUCUCGAAUGCGAAUGCAAAAUGGAUGGUUCGAAUUCGAAUACUUAGCGGAUUUUUGCAUAAUAUUAAUCGAAUAGAAUUCAUUAAAUUUAGCCAAGAAAUUAAAUUUUCUGAAAUUAAAUACUUUCCCUUCGCCCCAGCGGCGGCCUAACUCCCAGGACGGUGGCGUGCGGGGCCCGAGCAUCCCUGGCCUCUAGUGGCGUGGCGGGGCGGCAUCCAGCAGCAGCGGCGGGGCUCGGCCUCCGGUGGCGCGCGGCCAGCCCGACCUACCCGGUCAGAGGUGGCGCAGCGGUGCGCGGGCCUCCCCGACCAGAGCCGGUGGGGAGCGGUGCGCGGGGAGGACCUCCCCAGCCGGAGGUAGCAGGGCGCGACCUCCCCGGCCGGAGGUGGCUCCCUGUGGGGGCGCGGCCGUGACAGCUAGCGAGGCAAUAAUUGCUUCCGUACGCAGCAAUAAUUGCUUGUGCGACACCGUGUUAUUACUCUGGUACAGUACUCCCUCCGUUGCAGUACACUGGUCCAGGCGUCAGGACACUGCUCCUGCCCUCGUGGUUCACGUGCAUCAGGCCAGCAGACAAGCUAUGAUGUUGCCAACAGUGUUUGUUUGAACAUGGAGAUGUCAUUGUGAUUGUCAGGGACCCGACACCAUGCAUGCCGAUUUCAUAUUCUUAAUAUUUAUUUUUUUAAUGGUUGUUGAAACUAUAUAGUUACUCCAAUAUCACGUUUCCGAUUAUAAAAAUUAACAUAAAGAGAUCGGAAGGGAGAGCCCGCAUAAUGAAGCCGACGCGUAUAAUAAGCACUAGAGCCGGCAUUUAUACAAACGGGUACGCAUAGUAAAAACUAGAAUUUAUAAAUAAAUGAAGAUAUUCAAAUAUCUGGCUUACUUUUUUCAUUAAUUUUGCAUGAAUAAGGGAUGAUUCAUUAAUCAUUAUUGAACAAAUUGGCACACAUGCUUCGUGCCCGCGUUGUGAGCAUUAUGCGAUGCCACUGAGCUGCACCACCACGGUAGAGGGCCUGUUUGCGAUGCCACCGAGCUGCACCACCACGGCAGAGGGUCUGUUUGGGAAGGGGAAGUUAAAGUUUAACACCCCCCAUUUAACACCUUUUUAACAAAAUGGCUGCUAAACACUUGUGUUAAAAGAGUAGUGUUAAAAUUUAACACCUCUCUUUUCAUAAACACAUGGAGGGGGUGUUAAAAUUUGCUAAAUGUGUUAAAAGUGGUCCCCUCCCCACUUAUUCCUUGGUUGCCCCCCUCUCUCUCCUCCUCUCUCUCCUACCCGCCGCAUUUAAGAGCAUUAUUGAGGGGUAAUGCAGUCCUUUUCCAACAAAAGUGUUAAACUUUAACAACCCUUCCCAAACAUGCCACAAGCAACACCACCGGCUGACUGUGCUAGCGGGGAGCACCCUCACCGCCUGCCCGUGGGGACUUCUUCUGCCGGCCAUCGUGUCUUUGUAGGACCGCCGCGUGAGCCUAUGAGCCACCGGUGGCCGUGCGCCCAAGGGCCAUCACCAUGCCACCUGAGGAUGCUGUCUACCCGGUGCCGCGUGCCUCUGCUAGCUGCUUGCACCUGGGCCGCCGCUGGUCGCCUGCACAGCCACGCGUUACAGCCGCCCCCCUGCGCUGGGCCACCCCAUUUCGUGUUGGAAGAACUGCCACAGUCUCGCGCACUGGGGUUUUGCUAGUGACGACCAUAGCCUCCAAGAUCAAAUGAAAAAGUUGGUACUCAAAACAUACAUCCAUUAAUCUAGUCGUGCUAAUCCUUACCACCAAAUAAAAACUAGCAUGUGUUGUGUUUUUGUGACCCUAAACGAUCACAAAUGAAUAACUUAUGGGCGUUGCUAGCCUAUAAGUUAUGGGCGUUUGUGACCCUAGUCGCGCCGGGGUCUUGCUGGUGACAACCAUGGUCUUCGCGAUAAAGUAUUAAGUCUCAUCGAGUUCUACAAUUUUGAUAUAAAAUUUCUAUUCAUCCGAGAUCAAAUGAAAAACAAAUGAAAAAAUCCGAAGUAUUAGGCUUCAUCGAGCUCUACAAUUUUGAUAUAAAAUUUCUAUUCAUCCGAGAUCAAAUGAAAAAAUCCGAGAUCAAAUGAAAAGUUGGAACUCAAAACAUACAUCCAUUAAUCUUGAUAUAAAAUUUCUAUUCAUCCGACAUCAAAUGAAAAAGUUGGUACUCAAAAUAUACAUCCUUUAAUCUAGUCGUGCUAAUCCUUACCACCAAAUAAAAAAACUAGCAUGUGUUGUGUGUUUCUGACCGUAAACGAUCACAAAUGAAUAACUUAUGGGUGUUGCUAGCGUCCCGGACGCUAGCAUCGGACGCAUGAGCAGCCGUCCGAUCGGGUCCGACACCACUUCACGAUCUGUCUUAAAAAAAAGUCCCACCGAAACAUUGUUCCAUGUUGCAUGAAAUACCCCACUAUCCAUCGCCAGGUCUACAGCAAGCACCACCUUCCAAUCUGCUGCUCACCCAAGCUAAAUAGGGGCAUUAAAAUUGCAGAAAUAUGUCACAUAUCCUUGUCAAAUUAAACUAAAUCGCAACAUCCGAAAAUUUCUUACACAAAACCAUGAAACAUAUCGAUUAGAUAGGUGUAACAAGAUGGAAUAUGGUAUCCAACAUAUAGAUUCCGAAAAACAGAUGAAACAUUAUGUAACGAUUGUUGAAACAGUCGAGAAAUAUAGAUGUAACGAUUAAAAUUUAGAAAAGAAGCUUUAUGCAAAUUGCAAAAAGCUGAAAUAAGUGGUUGAAACAUUUCGAAUCACCAAAUGCCACAUUUGAAAUGGCUACAUGAAACAUCACGAAAUCAAUUGCAACAGUUGAAGAUGAAAACAUUCAAAUGCCUUGCCUUUCUCCAGAUUUGACCCUCCAAGCAUGAGUCCAGCCAUUUGCACAUUAGACCCUUGGGAGGAGCUCACCGGAGAACAACAAGACCGUGUUCUCCAACAAUUUUCUGAUCAAAUUGCAACAGACAAAACAAAGCAUUGCAACAUCUGGCAUCACGAGCUACAACAUCAACAAGUUAGGAUCAGGAGAAAGAGGGAAAACACAAGCCUAACAACCCCAAGACAAAACUGAUGUACUCAUCAUACAUCACGGCUUGCCGUGCACAGAGAUGAAGGCCGCCAAGCUCAAUCGAGACAGAGACGACGUGAUAGUGCUCCAGAUCGACGGUCCCCAUCAAUUGUUGCGUACACUGCCAAAAGCAAUGGAAGAAGAAGGGUCGUCCCUGCUCGACCUCCGUAGAUGAGCGCAGAUUGGGGGAAACCGUAUAGAGUGCCGCUGACAGCACAGGCGAGGGGGCUCAGGCUUGAUUCAGGGUGAGGGUAGCGGGUAGCAUGAGGAGACAGUCAGGUUUCAUAGGAGAGAGGCGGAGUAGAGAGCUCUGGUGACUCGGUGAGGAGGGUGCGGCACGGAGAAAGGUGUGUAGCUGAAGGAGCUACAUGGUUGGGGCGAGGCGAGCGUAGAGACUAGAGAGGGAAAAAAAGCAUGGGGAGGAGACGAUAUGUGGUUGAUGGUGCGGGCACGUGGUGAGCGCACCGUAUGAAAAUUUUGCUCGCGUCGGAUGACUGAUGUGAAGCAUUACCCAAUCUUAAUUAUCUCCCAUAAUCCAAAACUCACAAAAACAUCAAAAAUCCGCCGAGAAUAAAUUAAGUAAACCAUGCACACACAGAUAAUAAAAUUGCUAAUAAGGCCAGAGAUAAUACAUGAACAUAUUAGACUGUUCAUGACACAUAUCACGGUGGAUAGUGUCUGUGUCCUUAUUACAAGCAAUGAGAGAUGCUUGUCACCACACACACGCGCACAGAUGCAUGACAUACAUAUAGUUGAGACCAACAGAUGGAUCAACUAGAGGUCACCCCAUAUGGUGAACAAUUUAUUGGAGAUAAACAUUAACAUAACUUGGCCAUAGCUUGAAGCAUAGCAACAUAUGCCUAUGAAUGGCGUUCAUGCUAUCGUUUUAGGCUUGUCCAGCUUCUUUCAUCUUAGCAAGCACUUCCAUUUCUACCAUCUUAGCAGCAACUGUCAAAUUGAGAUAUGGAAAUCCCAUUAGCGCAUGAUUAAUUUUGCAGUGGAAAUAGAGUGCAAGAUAUCUUCAUGAUGUAAAUAACAUGCCUGAAGUUGUGAGAUGGGAAGUGAAGUCAACAAAUUACAUUAACGGAAAUGCAUGGAAGGCCACACAUACGUAUUAGUCCAUAAUACGCUACAAAGCUUGUAUGUACAUAUAGCAAAUUAAAUGCAUUAAUUGAAUAGAGUGAGUUUAGUGAAUUUACCAGAAUCGUCCAGAAAACAUGGGAAACAGCAAGUGUGCUUGCAGACUGUGUCGGAGCCACCCACACGAAUACAAAGCUGACAACAUGCUUGUGCCUCGUGGGAUACGCAGCAGCCGCACUGUGCCGCGGUGGCCGAGUUAACAUUGAGGCUCAAGAUGAACAGGCACAUGAUCACCAUCAAAGUGGUAGUCCUCUUUCCCUCCAUUGCCUCCUGUCGCUGCUACCUUCCUUGGUUACUAGUAAGUUUAUUGGUUUUGUGUUGAGAGGUGAUUCUUGCAUUGAAUGGACGUUGCCGCGGCUGCAAUUUAUAGGCAGCUGCGCUAUGUGAUGAUAUGGACAAGGUGCAAAUGGGUGGUCCUGAUAU